GAUCUGAUUCAUGACAUGCCUAGUAUCCAAGUGUUUGGAGAGAAAAGUGAAACGAGCAAGCCUGUCGAUGGUGAUGAUGAAGAUGGCAAUGAAGAUGGGGACGGAGAAGAGGACGGUGCUGUCGGGGAGGGUGACGAAGAACCAUCUGAGGAUGACGGGGAGGGAUACGAGAACCCCAAUAAUAACAGUGGCAAGAAAGCCCCUGGCGACGGUGCUGGUGGUGAAGAAAACGGAGAGGAUGAUGAUGAAGAGGCCGAGGAUCCAGAGGACGGGGAUGACGACGACGAUGAUGAAGAAGAUGAGGAUGACGAUGAUGGUGGAGAGGACGAGGACGAGGGUGUGGAAGACGACGAGGAGAACGAGGAUGAAGAGGAAGACGACGAGGAAGAGGAGCUUCAACCUCCUAAGAAGAGGAAGAAGUGAGCGUGGUCGAAGUCGGGCUCGGUUUUAGUUGUAGCUUCUCUUGCUCUUUCGCAGUUCAGUCCGUUCGACCUCGCCGUGUGCCCUAACCCUGGUUUCAUUUCAGGAUUCAUAACGACAGACCGUUGUGGUGUUGGCCUAUGUAGGAGUACUAUUUCCUAAUGCAUCAGAGAGAACUUUGUCAAAUUUUGAUUUGUCUCUCUCAGUUAUUUAAGCUAACAAACUCUAAACUAUGCUGCUUCAAUUUGGUAUCAGAUUUUAACAAUGUAGUCAAAUGCAGCUCACUUUUCCCUCCUUGUUUGGGUCCAUAUGCAUGCAUGUCUCUUAUCUAAACUUUUAUGUGGUUGAAAUCUGGUGCUUGUGGCAACAGGUGAAACACAGCUUGAAGAUGAGCUCAAACAUGGUAUGUGGUGUAGAAUUCAAUCAUCAUACAGGCCAAGACAAUCAUGUUUCUGCAAUUCUUUGAAUCCUGUAAAGAACUUUGUGUUUCUUCUAUCAACAGAUAAAUUACUGGAGACUAUACAGUAUUUGAUCAGUAAAAUUAUCUGGACUGGACUGGACUGAAUUGAUCUGUUCCUAUUUUCUUCUGAUCUUGGCAAGUAUUUACACUGAAACUACAGUUGAGGUUUUCUUUUCUCAUUUAGCUUGUUCUGAGUCUCAAGCCUGAGAUGCUCAUCUCUUGAAUUCCUCACUCAAAUGCCUUCUUUGAGGUAUUCUCCUGAUGCCUAAACUCACUUUCUUGACUCAUGUUCAUAGUUUAAUGAGAUCCUGUAGCAGAUAAGUAUGAAGAUACUGAAUCAAAGACAAACAUGCAUAGUGAUUUAUGUGUGGUUAAAGCAAAAUCAAUUAUAGUAAAGUUGGAGAAUUGAUACCUCCCUUGCUUUAUAAAUGUGACACCACUACUAAUGGACACUCGCUAUUAGAUUCUUUGAAUGAAAUAGCUCAAACACUCUUCGUACUAUAAAGAUAAUUAGGUUCAUUAAGCUCUCAGAGGAGGAUCAAUGUAUAUAUUAUGAAGAAGCUUGAUCAUGUAGACAGCAAUAAUUCUGCAUAAAUGUUCCUUGACUUGAGGAGAGAUCUUACACUAGAAAGUCCACCUUCCUCUCUCACAACAAAAUCCCCUAUUUCUCCAUGAACAUUCCUUGACUUGAGAGAGAGAGAGAGAGAGAGAGAGACCACAUGCCCAUGACCAUGUGAACAUUCAAUGUCUCGUAUGAAGUUUACUCAUUCAAAACCAGCCCUAAUGAGCCCAACAUCAAACAUGUCCAUGUUGAUGUGGUUGGGUGGUUUGAUAUAAUAAAUCAGAAAAAAAAUGCUCUAUCUAAAUUGAUGAACCAUCUCAAAUCCAAUAAUUUCUUAGAUAGGUUUGAUCUAAUUUGUUACUAAGACCUAGACAUGAACACAAAUUUGAUUAUAGAAUAGUAAGAUAUACAUAGUGCCCAUAUUCUAUCAUGCAAAGUGAAACAUAAAUUUAUGUACAUUUGUUAAAUAUAAUAUUUAAUGAUGAUGUUCUUGCUGAAAUUUUUUGUUUGAUUGUAUUCUUUCUGAAAGAUCUUUCAUUUAACUUUUCACAUGCAUCAAAAGAACUCUGUGCAUCAGGAUAACCUACAUUAAAAAAACCUUAUAAAGUUCAGCAAAAUUAUGUUUCAUGAACAGAUCAACUGUGAAAAGAAUCACAGAAUCUUACCAACAUCAUUGUCAAAAAGCAACCGGUGUUCUUGUUUGAGACUCCAAUUUAUACAACCACAAAUCUUUGCAUGUUAUAGUAGAUUGUUACCAAGAUUCCUCCACAUACUGUCUGAGACCGGUGACAUAAAAACAGUGUCAAAGCAAUGUGUAGGUCCUCCAGGCAACGGUGCUGAUCAGAACUUCUAAAUUGCAUUCGAUGGCUAGCUUAAUUUUAAGCUAAACUUUGCUCCAAGUGAACUGACCAAAAGAGCUCAAUAAGCAAUUACAUCACAAGUUUCUAAUUGCUUUGGGGCUUUAGCUAGUUGUUUCUCUGUAAAGAAGCAUCAUGUUAGUAUUGGAUCACUGAUAUCAUAUUAUAAGAGCACGCUAAUGUCCAUGGAUGAGCAAUGUUUACCUGAGCAUGCAAUUGCAUCUCUGAGCAGGGCAGAAUGGGUUAGUUCAGGAACAUCAAUGUGUGAACUUUGUAGAUGUUCGUGAACUUUGUAGAUGUUCCAAGACUCUCUCUGAAAAGGUAUAUAUAACAGCAGUUCCAAAAGAUUUAAGAUUCUGAAGCACGUUUCAUCACAAGCAACCAAAAGGAGACAUCACCUUCUCAGAAUCACUUCAUAUACUGAAGAAAAUGGCCUUGAAGAGAAUUGACAAAGUCAUCCAUAAAGAGUCCAACUGCAGCCAUGCUUCUAGUCAAAUAACAACAAAUAAUUAUAUCAGAACUUCCGAUCUAUGAAAAUAAUUCAUGGUGGAAUAAUUCAAUCACAAAGAAUGACACACUAACGAGAGACUUAAAAGAGAAAAUGUGAAGGAACUUGUGUUGACUUUCCAAAUAGCAUUACUUCAUGAAAUUCUAGUGGUUGCAUUAAAACGGAGCCAGCUUUGCAGUCUGAAAUCCAACUUUAGAAUAGUUGAUGCACUCGAUCGGAAAGGAUCGUUAACUGGUUUGAAGCAUAUCACCAGAUUGAAAUGACAAACACAGAGUCUCCAAUUACAGAUAAUACAUUCGACUCAUAGAGAUAGAUGCAAAUCCAAUUAUAUCUACUGAAAGAAAGCUAAAAAUUACAAUGUUUCAAAGACAAUUCUGAUAACAAUUUUGAUAACAUUUCAGACACAAAACCAAUAUGUGCACGAUAUCACCGAAGAAAAUAAUAAUAAGAUAAACGGAAUACCGAGCUGGACUCACAUAUGGUCCAAUAUCGGUGUUUAAUUGGACAAGAAAUACUGGCAGGUAUAUAUAAUUGUCUGACGGGUAUUCUAAAACAUGGUAUUGAGUCUGAAGGCCAAUUUGACUGAUAGCCUGUCAUUUGUGCAAUCAUUUUUUCUACUGUCUGCAGAAACUUUUAAUAAGCAAAAGAAAUAUAUGUACCGUGGAUUACUCAUAAUGGGUUGUGUUGAUCCAUUGUUAAUUGUUGUUGGUGUAAGUUGAAUUUGUUUGAUGUGAAAUAGAUAUGCCAACUAAUUACCAUAAUGUUGCAUGAACAUGUUUUUUAAAAUGAUCAUCUGAAGUAAAUAAAUAAAUAAAUAAAUUUCAAACUAUACAUCUUGCCCAAUCAGUAGAAAGCAAAGUUUCCACCAAUAUGACAAAAUCAAGCCUGAAAAAUGUAGAACUAUGGUUGUAUUUCUUGACUUUUUCACAUGUUCAAAGCUCGGAAUAUGAUGACCACAUUGUUUUACCUAGCAGAUAAUUGUUCAACUUACCAUUCAAUAAAAUGGGAAAACACAGUUCUACUUGCAUGAAGAUAGAGAAAAAUACAUGAAAAAUCAUAUGAAUCUUUAAAACAAUAAUAAAAUAAAUUGUAUAGUAACUUAGAUAAUGCAAUAUAAAGAUUUAAGAAUACCACAAAAUAACCAUAAGUGGAACGCUAUGAAGCCUCACAUCACCUUGCACUGACCUCAUGAAGAUAGAGAAAAAUACAUGAAAAAUCACAUGAAUCUGUAAAACAAUAAUAAAAUAAAAUGUAAAGUAACUUAGAUAAAGCCAUAUAAAGAUUUAAGAAUACCACAAAAUAACCAUAAGUGGAACACUAUGAAGCCUCACAUCACCUUGCACUAACCUCAUGCAUGCAAUUGACCAUAACUACAACUCCAUCUGUGGUGCAAACUGGGCUUCCUAGUACUCUUUUAACCAGUAUAGAGAUGACCAGCCACUUCUAAUAACUUCCGAAAAAUGAUAAUUUACCUGUAAGUCCAGUCAGAAACUCCCUUGGCAAGUGGAAGUAAAUGUUAUUAUAAUUUCAAUUUAUUGCACUUCAAGAAAUAAUAGCCUUUAAGCAUAACAGUCCACUGAAUUCUUAAAAAACACUCUGAAAUCUGAAUAUAGUAUCUUUACAAAGAACACUGAAAAUGAGUUCACAAAAAGCUCGCUUUCUGGGAUUACCAACACUGGAAGAUUUAGAUGAGGGGUAUAUGCCAAGAAAUGGUAGGUGGAAAUGCCUGCAAAUCUGACGGUUCCUGUGACAUUCUGCAAAUCCACUGGAUUGUCGGAUGUUCAGGGUUGAUGCCUGCAAAUCUUCUUGCUUCUCUUAAGUUAUCUAAUUUCUCUGCAACUUUAAGAUUGUUCCUCCACAAUGGAUAGCUUCUGGGACCAUGAAACUUUAAGUAUCCCUGAGAAACCAUUUAAAAAUGGUUCAAAUACUUUCUUCAUCAAUGCACAAGCCCAUCACCACCUUGGCCAUGGACUGCAUUUGAAGCAUACUGGUAUAAAUUUAUUGUUUAAUCAAAUUAACAAAUCCAUCUCUUCUUUUCCCUUUUCUGAAACUACAUAAACGAUUACAGUGAUGGACCUAAAAAUGAUGAAAUUAACAUGAUAGCAGUAGCAUAAUCACUUUUUCUGUCCCUACACACAGGACUGCCAAUUAAAAUGAUCAAAAUAACAUAAUUACAUAAAAGUAAUCCAUGCCAGUCAAAAUUAAAUUAAGCAGAACCAUCUGGACAUGGUAGUUGGGUUGCAUACUUGGACAGUACAUGACCUAUAGAUUAUACAUGUAUAUACUCAUGUACAUUAACAUCAGAUGCAAAAUUUGCAAUUUCUGAGCGAAACUAAGAACACCAAGUAACUUUGUCAAUGUUCCUCUGGCUUUUGCCCUAUACAAGGAUUUUGUUUGAACUAUUACCUGGAUUCUUUUUACAAUUUUGCAUAUAACAACUGUUCUACAAAUAUUAAGUGCCUUGAGAAAUGAGUAGGAUUUUCCAAUAUGUAGUAAUAAACUGUAAACAGAAGAUGAAUGUCUUUAAGAUGUAGAUAAAACUGGAGAGAUUUAAGGAACAAAUGCAACUUACGAAGAGAAUUAUAAUUGGACACCACAGCCUAUAGAAAGAUUACAAACUCCUUGUCACUAACUUUUUUAUCCAGUAUCUCAUAUAAUAAUAUUCACUAGAAGGAGAAUAAACUAUACAGUUGAAAGUAACUGAACAGGUAGAAUUAACUGAGUAACUGUACAUAUAAUAGAUAAGACCUAAUGUGCCAGCUAGCACAACUGGUAUUAAGUGAAUCAGGGGUUCACAGUACCGUCUGGCAUCACUUUCAAAUCCCUGCACUGGGGCUGCUGAAAUAGACAAGAAAACUGUAAUAUAUAGCAAUGUCAGAAUAACUUCUCAACUUCCAGGUGACUCCUCAUAGAUUUAUCAAGCCAUGAUUCCGACAAGGCCCCCGAUUUUCCUUUAUUAUGUACUGGCUAAAAAAGGUAUAUCCACUAUAAAGCAUAGCUAAUAUGUACUUAAAUACCAAUAAAUGCAAGCUCCAUCAUGUAGUUAGGCCAUGAUGUAUUUAUGAGAAUUGGAUGAUUACCAAAUCCUAGUAUGUCAAAUAUCAAGGACCUGACAGCUUACAAGCUCUGCUACCCCAGAAUCCUUAGCAUCAAUGACCUUCCAAAAUUCAGGCUCUUCCUCUACCAAGGAAACAGGGUUGUCAGUCAUAGAGUCAGCUGGAGCAGUUGAUGAAGUCGAAACAUUUGAGCCUGUACGUCUCUGUAAGUCAGCUUCCAAUAUCACAAUAUGAUGAUUGGCAUCUUUCAUGAUAACAUGGAGCUUCCCAAGUAAACCAGCAAGCAGAAAUGGAGACUCAGAGUCAGUGAGAUAACGAACUGGUACAUUUUCUAUAACAACUCUCCAAACAUCCUCCUGAUUAUCAUACUUCUUUAUCUUGCCAUUGUCCAAACAACUAGCAGGAUCCAAGGCAUAUAGAUCUCCAUUGACUACAGUACCCAACUUUGUUCCCGCUUGCCUAGCAGGCCAACCAUCACCCAUACCAUGUGGCAUUUCCACCCAUGAACUUGUCUCUGGGUCAUAAAUUUCACCUCCAAUAUCAAAAAAGAAGGGCCAAGAAUAUAAACUCUGUGGAACACACAACCUUCCCCUAUAUGAAACCAAUCCGGUUGCAAUAGGCUUCAGCAUGUCGGCUAAAAAAGCAGUAGGUAACACCUGUGUUUUCACGAAAGGCAUGCUUGGCAACUCCGUCCAAAGACUUGUUAGGGGAUCAAAAACUUCAGCAGUUCGUAAAGGAAUUAAGCCAUUUCUUCCCCUCACGACCCCCCCCACAACAUAAAGUUUGUCGUUUAAUAUGCCUGUCUUACAGAAAGCCCUAGCACUGGUCAUAGAGCUCACUUCCUGCCACAAGUUAAGACACGGAUCAUACCGCCAAACACAAUUGAUGGCAGAGGCUCGAGAAAAUCCACCUAAUACAUAGAGGCAGCCAUUGACAACACCAACUGCACAUCCGCAAAAGGGCAUCUGAUCCAAGUUAUCCCUGCGCCCGAGCCAACCUCUUAUGAAAUCAGCAAGUUUGAUGCUGGAGCCCACCACACCCCACAUCCAAAAUCCAGGCAACCCCCUCUUUGGCUCUUCCUCAUCCACAACAUGGGGCAUCGGCGGCAACCGUUGCCAUUUUCCCGAACGAGGGUCCAAUGCCUGCCACAAGUACUUGUCCCCUCCUGUCUUCGUCAUUACAUAUAACCAUUCUUCAGUCACCCCAAGUUGUCUUCUCAGCUGAAACAGCUCACCGCUCAUGACAGCAAUCAUCCAUCGCCGGGAAACCAACUUCACAUUCAAGUAGUGAAUUCUCGGCAAUCUCGCUAGGAUUUGAAUCGAGACUUCAUCUGGAAGACUAGGGAUCAGCCUCGGGUUGUCAUCAAAAUACGAUGAUAUUCUUAUCUUUUUGUUUGCAUCACCACGGGAUGUUUCACAAUGCACGCCUUCACCAGACUUAGCAGCAGGCACACUCAAGAAUGAUCCCAUCAAAAUCCUCUAAAAACCAGCCGAUCCUCGCGGAAAAGUAAUGUGCUACUUGAGCCCGAUCCCUAAUAGAUUUCAAAAGAACUGGUUUUAUAAAAAUACAUAUCAAUUCAUCAAAGAAGACACGAUCCAAAAAGAUCAAAGAAAGAACUUUUAACUCCUCCAAGCGGACCUCAAAAUUCUAAUUUUACAGUAAAAAACAGAAGGAAAAAAAUUCCGACUCUACAAAAAUUUUAGAACCCCAAACACCAGAUCUGAAGAAACUCUUGAAACGCAAUAGAAAAGCAUUGAUCUUCAGCAAGACCCUAAACGUCAAAUCUGAAGAAACUAUUCAAACGCAACAAAAAUACAUGGAUUGUCACCGAAAAUAGCAGAUACAAAAACAAGAAAAAGAUCAAGGAAGGACAGGUUACCUUCAGGCUAGAGAGAUCCGGAAGAAGAUACCCUAGAUAUGCUCCUUUUCGCUUUACAGAUUCUCUUGGUUCCUCUUCUCGUUCGUAUUCGACUCCGCUCAAACGACGGCACCUUCCUUACAUGGCAGGGCCGUUACGGUUUACGAUCAAAAUUGGGCCAGUCCGGCCCAUUAUAUUGAGCCCAUAUUUGGUUCUGCCACAGCUGGGUCGGCAAAACAAACCAUUGGGCCAUGGAAUCAAAUACAUAGAUUAAUGUAAAGCUUAUCUUAUCUCAUUUAAUUGGGGAAUAUUUUCCUAUAAAUGAAGCAAAAUUUAGGAACAACUAACAUAAAUUGAGAGGGUUAGGUAACAUAUACUAGAUUUUUCUUUUUAAUAAUCUAAGUUUUUAAGUUGUAAUAAUGUUCAAUCUCAAUAUAUAAAAAUUGCACUGAUUCCUAGUUUCUAAUUGCAAAAAACCUCAUCAUAAUUUUAGUCCAAUAGAUUCAAAAAGGGAAAGAAGUUCAUAAUUGAGCUAUUUUUCAUGUAUUGAGUAUAAGUAUUUUGACAUAUCAAUGACCACAUAUUUAAUAAUUGUUUCCUCUAACAUCCAUUUCUCUAUGGUUUUGUUUUAUAAAUUGUAUUAUAUAUUAUAGAGGAAUAUACAUACAUACAUAUACAUAUACAUGUAUAUAUACAUGUAUAUAUACAUGUAUAUAUAUAUAUAUACAUAUAUAUAUAUAUAUACAUAUAUAUAUAUAUAUAUAUAUAUAUANNNNNNNNNNNNNNNNNNNNUAUAUAUAUAUAUAUAUAUAUAUAUAUAUAUAUAUAUAUAUAUAUAUAUAUAUAUAUAUAUAUAUAUAUAUAUAUAUAUAUAUGCACACACAAAACAAAACCAUCUUGCCAAAACAUGAUAGAGAGAUGGAUGUUAUAGAGGAAAGAUGGUUUUGUUUUGUAAAUAUAUAUUUCUCUGUAAUUUAUAUUUACAGGUAUUCACUGGUUAAGAUGAUCUUAUUGUUUGCAAAGGUGAGCAUAAACAAUCAAAUCUGGAGUCUACAAGAACUAAAUUUAUACAAUUAAUCAAUUGUUUGGCAAAUUUCAGAUUCUUGUAAUAUCCCUAUGCAUCACAAUUUUGGACAAUUGGAUGAGAGUGACAUUUGCAAAGAUGAUGUUGCAAAUGGAUCACAAAGCAGUAGGCCAAAAGCUACUUAGUUUUGUUUGAUCAAGCAACUUCAGAUGCUCUUUAACAUCCAUUUAUCUACCAUGAAAAGGCUUGGCUACCAUUCAUUAAGGUAAUAAUAAGAGAGGUUUUUUUGAGUGGAUAGGAGUUCAUGCAUUUCAAAUCAACAGUUGGUUUGUCUUGAAAAUGAAGUUAAGAUGGAUGAUUAAAGUGUUAGGUAUAAAGAAUGACAAUGAAAUUACUCAUGGAAUAAAUCAGAUGAUUAAAAUGGAGAGAAGCAUCAUAAGUUAUAUGACAUAAACUUAACUUCUUGGAUGCUCCUUAAGAUAGUUGCAAGCCUAAUCAUGAUCAAAAUAUUGGAUGAUUAAGAAAAAUGUAAAAAAUUUGUAAAGUUGAAAUGAAAAUGUUAAUAUGAAUAUAUGGGAUUACUUGAAAAGAUAGCAUAGGAAAGUUUUGAUUCACAAAUAAGUAAAUACAACCCAGUAGAGAAAUAAAAGGAGAAAAAAUAGUUUAAGUAGGUACAAAGAUAUACAAAGAAAUUUUUUGUAAUUAACAGACUGAAUUGAGUUAAAGAAAUAUCUAAGAAGAUUUUAUUAGAAACAAUGUAUAACAACAUUUCAAUGCUCUUGAUGAUUUAACUAAACCAUGGUCUUACACAAUGAUUAAUAGUGAGAAAAGAUUCAUGAAUUGAAUCCCAAAUAGUUGUUGGAACAUCAAGGCUUAAUGUCAUUGUAAUUGGCUUGUCUUUGGGCUUCGUUUGCAUCCACCUGAAGCUUUCAGUUGAUGUGAGCCACUGCCUGUUGGUGAGAUAGAAGAGGCAUAAUGUCAUCAGACUUUUAGUUGGUCACCAGUCUACAUUGCAGGAGUGAGCCACAUUAUUAUCAAGUCAUCAGAGAUAAAGCCCACCAUGAUGGUACAAGAGAGACCCAGGUGCCACUAAAGACUGCUUGUACAAGUAUCAUUGGCCAGCUUUGUGCAGGUCACAUCAUUUUCAAAGCUUACCCUUCAAAUGUUCUUCAGGAAACAGACUGGAACACAUGCAGCUUGUAUCUUGUCAAGACUUGAUUCUUAGCUGAAGGACUGAGGUAGAGUUUUCAGCUUGCAACCUUAAAUCUGGUGGUUUGUUAGUGCUUGAUAAGAGUAAGUUCAUCAAAAGAUCCUGCCAAUCUUGAAGUUCCAGUCACUUGCAUGUGUUGUAGCUCUUAGGUCAUGGUUCCCAAAUCACUUCUUACAUGCUGUUGCUGCAAAAAGUACUGUUAGUGCCAAGGCUUCAUGGAAGGAACAUUUCAUUAUUGCUUCUAUCCAAACGUAGAUGUUUAAUUAGUCAUAUAUCAAUGGUGAAUCAAGUUAUAAUCCAUCUUCAUCUUGUAAGUAAUUUUUUGACCAAAAAAUUGCACUAGAAUAUGGUAUGUUAAUGUCAAUAUAAGUGGAUAUUAUGAACGAACUCAGUAUGUUCUGCUAAGAAUACAAAAGCUUCAAAAACCUAAUUUAACCAGACUAAUGAUAUCAUAAGUGUAUCUCAAAUGCUUCAUAUAAUUAUUGCAGAUAUUAUGAUGAUAAAUUAUCAUCUCUUAAAUUGGAUAAGAAAAAUCAUCAAAGUUCUGUUGCCACCUUCACAGAAUAGUUUUGAGUGAGAGCAUGUUCCUUUUAAAUAGCUACAGCCUGAUUUUUUUCUUGGGACCAGUGAAAGAAAUCAGCAAAAAAGAUCAUAUAAAAGGAGAUUCACAGUCACCUAACUCCCAGCUUAAACAAUUGGUUUUUGUGAGUACCAGACAAGCCAAAGUUAAGAAGUCUAGAUUGUGACUAAGUCAUUAAGAAAGAUGGCAUGACUUCCUCAUCCACAUCAAGUUGUGAUGUGAAAGAGAGACAAUUGUCACCAUGCCUGACUGAUCAAAGCAUAAACACCAUUAAUAUGCACGAUUUAUUUAAUCGAUUUAAGAAAAGUUGAAUCUGAAUUGACCUAACUUGCUAAAAAUGCAUAGACACAUCUAACAGUAUCUCUAGCUGACAUUUAUUGGCAUUUCUUGUGUUGACACAGUGGACAAUGUGAACUGAAGGAUGAUGGUGUAAGAUAGUGAUAAAAUCAGGGUCAUGGAUUUGCAAUCAAUGCAUCUAUCUAUUGGAUCCAGAUGUCCCAAAGCAACAAUUAGAUCUUUCUUCUCUCUCAAAGAAGACUCCACCACCAUAUUCCUGUUGAUCAUAAGAUAAUAGUUUGGGUACUUUCAUUGGUGUUUCCAAUGGUGUAAAUCAUUGAAAAAACUUCGGUAUCUCACAGGAUAUGGUAAUGUAUCUGAGACAAAAAUCUUUUGUUACAUGAUAAAUCACAACUUAGUGAAGAAGCAGAGCCUUGACAUUUUCCCUUUGAUGGCCUUUCCAAUUGUCGACAGCAACAUAGUUCUGGUAAAAGGCACAUAGAAGAUGAAUAUUCACUUUACACUCCUUAUGGUCAAUGCUUGUUUGAUCGUAGAUAACACUACUAUUUUAUGCUUUUUGGCUGAUAGUUAAUGGAUAAUUUGUUUCAAGAGAUUCUGCUGUGGGCUUUAUGAAAUUAAAAUUACUGUUACUGCCAAUACUCCAAUGAGUUCAUGUUCUAAUAUAUGGGAAUAGUGUACAUGUUUUACUUGCAGUCACCAAGUUGUCUCUAACUUCAUUCCAAUUUAUUUGGAGUUGUAUCAUUGUUGCUGAAUAGUUGUCUUGCUGGCCAUACAAUAAUUAGCACAUUAAUAACACAACCAGCAGCCAACCAAUCUAGAAGAUCAACGUAGUGAUUAUUGCAGACAGUUGAGCAAUUUUUUCUUCAGUUUCAGUUUAAACUUGUGCUGAUUCUACUAAACUAUAAUAUCAUAAAAAAAUCAGGAGGUAGGGAAUCAAUCAAUUUAUAUGAUAUUGACAAGUUGACAUUACUCAGAAGCUAAACAAAUCACAUUCCAUUACAAAAAAAAAAAAAGAGAAUAAUAUUUUACAAACGAGAUCUAAAGACAAUGGGGGGCUUCUCAUGGGCACCAAGAAAUUUUGGAAAACACAAUAGCAUCAAAUCUACAUUCCUUUUCUUCUAAUAGGUUAAUUGAUGCUGGAAAACCAUAGAAACUUACAUGUAUCUCUUUGCAUUAUAGCAUUUGAAAUAUCUUGUUUGGAAUCACUGAAAAUUCUAUGAACAGUUAUUAAUGAUAGCUCAGGUAGCAGUGAUCGAUGCCUCACAGUCGGAUUGGUUGGAGCAGCUAGUUUCAAGAGGAUUAUCAUUCAUAGAAGUUAGAUAGCACUUCUCUUUCUGCUCAUCUGAAUUCAUUUGUUGCUGGCGGCACUCAAGGCUACAGAAAGCAAUGUCACCCCUGCACAAUGAAAUAUAACAAAUAAAUGCAUAACAUCUAAAAUUUCCAAACUUUCACAUUACAUAAGAAAAAUGAAGGUCUUGAACCAUAUAUAACGCACAGAAGACUGAGCAGUUUUUAUGCAAAAAAUGCAAGACAUGCAACUCAUAACAUUAUUGUAUUCACAUGCAUGCAAAAACACAGACAUGAUUUUUUUUUUUAGGAAUUCACUGAAGAAAAUAAAGUUGCAGUAAUUGGAGUAUUAUGGAUCUAACACUAAUAUGAUUGACGUGAAUUUAUAUUUUAAUGUACUAUGAAUACACAUCAAUAAAUCUUCAUCUGUAAGCUUAUGCUUUUAGAUAGAUUAAGAAUAUAAAUCAAUAGAUCUUGUCUCAUGUACAGGUUUAGAAUUUUAGAUGGAAUGACAGUGAUCAAAUAACUUAACAUGAUGAGAUAAAUGAUGUCAUCAAAGAGUAUAAAAAGGCAGGACUUAGUACUACUUCAUAUCAAUAAGGCAUUGAUAACAAUAACUAACAAAUUAAGAACAAAAUUCUAAUAUUUGAGUGUAGAAAUUUUAUACCAAUUUAGAGAAAUGAGUAGACUACCUCUUGGAUUUAACUAAUGACUUCCUAUAUAAAUCAAUAAAAAAGUCAGAAUGAUGUAUGAAUAUUUACAAAUAUAUGUAACACUAACAGAGGAUCUGAACUCAAAGAGAAACCUCUCCAGACAUUUCCACAAAAUCUUCCCAUAAUCAUAAGAAAAUUGAACUUUUGAAGGUUAUAAGCAAAAUCCAACAUAGCGUGCACUCUGUUAUUAGCAUAUUUUUCCUAAAACCCAUCGAAUUAAUUUGAAUUGGAUCAGCGCGUCCGCAUGCCCUGGGGUGAAAAAACGAUCUUUGAUCCGUAAAACAUGUGAAAGCCAGAAAAAAGAUGAAGUUUUUAGUGAGAGAAGCAGGCACAAGAGAGCAGUACCUAUACAUGUAAGUAUCUCGGCCAGGUCCGAGGCGGCGAUUGCAGAGGCCGCAGGCCCUCAAGAAGGGCGCCGUCCCGUCGCCGGAGUUCCCACAGUGCACGCCGCUGUGGAGGAAAAGCGUGGACCCCACGUGCCUCGUCGCCCAACAGCCUUCUCUCCCGGCGGCCCCGAUCUGCGCAGCCUCCGCCGCGCCCCACCGCGUCUCCCUCGGAUUAAAGUGGCAAGCGAUCGCGUCCUGAUUAGACGUCUGGGCGGCCUCUACAUCGAAGACGACGGCCGAGGAGAACUCCGCGGAGCUCGGCGUCCGCCUCACCUGGGGCCUCGGUCGCUUCCCCAGCAACAUCCCGGUCUUCUCCUCUCUUGCUCCGCGGAGAAGUGCGGGGGCGGUGAGCGACGGUGAGAUUAGAAGAGGGUGACGGGACCGAAGAUCCUUGCAGAGGGAGAAGACGCUUGGAAGCUCAAAGCAGCCAGGGAGAUUUAAAGACGAAAGAAUAGAUCAGGGCCGUCGAAUUUAAUCUCCACCUUUCUUAAGUAAUCGGUACCAUUGAUCAGACCGCGACAAGCCUCAUCCAACGGUCACGAUUAAUAGAGGGAAAAAAUUUAAAUUCUCAUAUUUAUCCAGUGAGUCAUCAAUAUACUUUUUUCUUUCUUUAAUAUAUUGGACAAAAAAAAAAGUAAGAAUAAGUUCCUCGUGGGCCGAGGCGGUGGCCACGUGGCCGAGAGCCUUUGGCUGUCUUUCGGUGGGACCACCUCGGAUGUGGCCUACUCAUAAUUAGUGACCAGUGGCGAUGGGCACAGAUCGGAGUGUAGUGGAGACAUAGAAACAGUGACACGAGAAGGACUUCGAAGAGAUUCCAUUUUAGAGUGCACUAAUUAUUGCCCAAGUUGGAUGCAGAAAUCUCCAAGCAAUAUGAAUUCUGUCGAUCAUAAGAGCUUGUUUUGUAAGAAUGUAAUGCAUUGGUACAGUUGAUCGAUCAAUGUAGUAUGUGACAAGCGAAGCUAAGAUGCUGACGUGGAAUAUUGUUUGGUAGCAUAAGUCGAGCAUCGAUGUGUCCAUUUGAUAAUGGAGUCGACUGCAAGACUUUGAUUUUGACAUGAAGUGGUCCGAAUAAUGUUAAUGGCCACAUAUACUAAUCAUUUAUUUUAUGCAUUCAUGUCAUCCUGCAUGAGACAUAUUGUUUAUGUUGUGAAGGACGCACACGAAACUAUUACAUGUUUUGAAUUGGAAGGGCGCGCAUGAACGAGGGACCCGUUAUGGAGCGCGUAUCCAAUCUCACUUUCUGAAUCCGACCCGUUUACACGCUAACCCUUUUCGUUACUCCUAUAAAAAAGAUCCGACCCGUCACCGCAGCCUUCAUAACUGCCCGACCAUUUGGGUUCAGCCCCUUCCCCGCUCCUUUCAGCUCACCGUCUUCUCCGUCGCUCUCCGCUCCGCUCCGCGUAGCUUCGCUCGCCGCCGCCGCCGCAGAAGGCCGGCAGGUACCCCCCCUCCAUUGACCUUUGGCUUCAUUUUCCGUUCUUCUAGACGUUCUGCGCUCCUGCUACCGUCCACAAAAUCGGACCUCCUUGCAUGCCUCUGAGGUUCCCUGCGUUAAGAACAAGACGAUCGGAGUCGCGCAUAACUGCAACGAUUGGUGUCAGGAAUCUAGUUUAUAUGGUCGGUUCGAUCGAGGCAUUGGAUCUGUCUGACGGGUUUGGGCUAGGGUUUUCUUGAUCUGAUUUCUUGAUUCUUGCUCUUUAAUCUCUUCUGUUUCCCCUUCUUCUUGAGUCGGAUUAGGUAUGAGAAUCUUAGAUGCCACUGUAGGGUUCAGGGAAAGCAUAUAUUCUCUUUCAAUUUUGGAUUAGAUUUUCUAGGAUUGAUGGGAGGAAAGAGGCGUACCUAAGUGUGAGAAGCGAGUGUGAGAAGCGAGUGUGAGACGUACAUGUAUGAUUGGCGUUGAACUUUUAGUUUGCUGAGUGUGAGAAGCGACCUAAGUGUUUGAGAAAUCUUGGCCCAUCUAGAGGCAGUAAGAACGUUGUGGACUAUCACACAGCAUUUAUGUGUUCUAGGUAUUUCUUCUCUCCUUGUUAGCCAUAUAAAAGUUACACCAUCAUCGUUGCAUUCUUGAUCAUUCUAAUACCACUUAUCUUGUGCAUUAGGUUAUAGCUUUUGUGCUUGGUCAUAUGGUUUUCUUCUGGCUUGAGUUCACUGGAAGGUUGAUCAUGUUAUGAUGGCAUCUUGGGUUUCAUUUUAAAUGUAGUUAGAUCUGGAUGUAUAUCUCAGUGUAUGAUGCAGCAAGGUGGCUUGUAAAAAAGGAAAAAAAUGGGGAAAUGCGGGGAAUAAAACGAUUUAAAUAGGUCAUCUAUGAUUCUUAUAUUUUAAGGUGAUUGGAAAUAUGGGGAGCCACGGAAGAAACAUGAUUUAAAUAGGUCAUACAUGAGACUUAUAUUUCAACUCUGUGGUAGUACAUAAUUUUUUAUGAAAGGAUUUUAAUAAUAAAAGGAGAUUUACUUGAUAUUCCUGGGAGUUUUCUCCUUAAACCAGAGUGAGUUUGGUAACAUAUUUUUAUUUCCUCUCUCUUUCCCUUCGAAAGAAAGAGAGAAUUCCUUAAACCAAAGAAAGAAUUCCUAUAUUCAGUGUGAUCUCGUCCUACAUCAGUUUAUCUUUGCUAAUACACAUGAAAGGAUAGCAUUGGUAAUUUUUUGUUGCAGCUCUCAUAUUGGCUGGCUGCCUGGGACCUUCGUAUUAUAUAUAUGUCAUCCAGCCUUAGGUUGCUUCAUGAAAAUGAGAAGAGAGAUUUCAUUAUGUAUUGUUAGUAAAAAAUAAUAGGUUCAACCUGACAUAUUUAUCAAGUCCUUAAAAAAGUGUGUAUAAUAUGCAAAGGACAUGACGAUACAAUGUAUUUUAGUAGUACAAUAGUAUAUUUAACAAAGCACGAUCUAAUUUACGUAGUUAGACUGCUUAGUUGCAUACUGUGAUGACCAGUAAUAACUUGCAUUCUUAACUUUUUCAUGAUGAAUUUUAAUCCAAUUACUCUAUAACAAGCAAGAACCUAUUGUAGUCAAUAACAAGUAAUUAACCUGCAUAUUUAGCUUUACAAAUAAAAUAUGGACCAUGAUCUAAAAUACCAGUUGGAUCAAGACGUACUGAUCAGUAUUUUCCAGGCUGACUAAGCAUAUGGGUCAUACACCUUGGUACAGUCUGAUAGGCUGCUACAUUUUUUAUUAUUUUAUUCAGCAAUACAAUGAGCUACAUGCUGGUGUACCAUUAUAUCUGUAACCAUCAAAAUUGUAGACACAAUACAUUAAGAACCUCUUUCUUUUUAGUAUUUAUUAAAAAAAGAUUCUUGAAGGAGGUGUUCAGCAUGUAUCAAAGAAAUAUCUUGAUCUUACCCCACAUAUAGUUGAUAUGGAUGUGACAAGCAAUUUGAAGCAGUCGUGUUUCAUAGGCUACCCUAUAGUGGCUGUAGGAGAAGGUAGGCCACAAUAAGAGGAAGAAGAAGGUGGUUGACAGUGGUGAUUGUUAUUUUAAAGAGCGGAAGGGAGAUGAAGGAAGGAUCACAAGGAGAGGUGAAAAAACAAGCUACUGCAAUUCACCUUCAUAAAUGGAGAGAGAGAGGAGUGCAGUGAUAGUAGGAGAGAGAGUCAUGGGGCUCCUAAUUUCGUUGAUGGUGGGGAUAAGAUCUAGAAGUCCUUUCCUCUUUCCCGGCUCUCACCGUUCCCUUAUUUAUUUUAAAUAAAAUGAGUACAAUGUAGAUACACUCUCACCAUCCGAUUGGUAGUGACUUAACUAUAUAUCAUAAUAUCAUCUGGAACAUAACUGAUGUUCGAUACCAUCAGAUUUAUUAGAUCCUACUGUCUUCAGUUGUUAAAUAUUAGUGGGACUGUGAUGAGAUAAUUUUAGUACACGUUAGAUGGCCAAAAUGCUACUUGACAUCAGAUGCAAAGUUCUAAGUACUAUACUUGAAGCAGUCCAUGGGCAGACUUGUAUGGACACAUUGGUGUAUAUCACAAACUAGAAGAAGAGGAGGAGGAGGUGGCAACAGGGGAGGGGAAGGCAGCAACAGUGGAGGAGGAGGAAGAGGAGGAGGAGAAGAAUAAGAAUAAGAGGAGUACGAAGCGAGCGACAACGGUUGGGAAAUGACAGACAAUGCAAGCAACGAGUGGGCGACAUGAGAGAAACAAGAGAAUUCAUGAGAGAGAAGGGCAGGAGUAACCCUAAAUUUAGAAGAAAAUGGACUUACAUUCUGGUAUAGGCUCUGUAACAAGUCAAAACCAUGCAGUAAACCCCGUUCAACAGGCUUAUCAAGUUAUCAUACAGUAAGCACUGUAUCAAACCCAGACCGCUUGAAAUGGGAUAUUACAUGUGUAUAUCAGGUUCAGACUAGUAAAUACCAACCAAUAUAUAUCAGUCUAGCUGAAAUUAAGAACCAUGCCUCACAUGGCUGACUGUUUACAACCAUAAGAAUCACGAACACUGGGUUUCUAAGAUUUAAAGAGGAAUCUAGGAUAGGGUAUGAUGGUAUUUCAUAAGAGUACAUAUGGUAUUUUCUUUUUUUUAUUUUCUCCAUCACAUUGAUAUCAUCCUAAUUCUGGUCUUGCUAAUCUUGCUUUUCAUUCAAAUUCAUAAGUUACAUAUGGUGACCCUAUCGCUAAUUGUUAGGCCUCUUGGAAACUUUAGAAGUUUUAGAAGUCGGAACUAAACUAGAAUACGUGAUUCAUUGAUUGUGUCCAACUUAUCUGUUACUUGGACUUUGAUGAAUACUCGGGAUAAAGAAGAAUUGUCCUAACUUCUAAAUAACCCUUAAGCCAUUAGAAUUAUGGCAGAAGGUCUUGCGUAAGUGUUUAAUAAAAAGAAAAGGCUUCAGUUGUGCCCACUUUGUCCUGAUCUUCGAUAAUCUGAACUUGGAAGACAUUGUCUUAGAAGAACAUUGUACAUUAUUGAAGGCCUUAGUAGAAUCAAAGCUUCUCAGGCCAAAGCCUUAUAAAACUAUAAUAAUUUCUUCCAGGUCACAAUUGGCUAGUCAAAACUUGUUGAGGCAUUCGUAGUAUUGCAUAUCUUGUCCCAAACAAUUAUUUAAUUCAAUGAUAUAGACAUCUAAUUAGCAAAACAAUGACAAGGAUGGUGAGUGUUCUUUUGGUUACAGGAUAUUGGUUAUCCAAAAUGUUGAAUCACUAAGACACUAACAUAGCAUUACUAUAUUUAAAUAUAGCUCUUUGAGAAAAAAAUCCUUUUUUCUCAUUUCAUUAAUGAUUCUUUCAUAUUUUUCUUUAAUAAAUGAUGAUUAGAUAAAAAAGUUUCAAAUGUCCAUCAUUGCUUUAUUAUGAAAAGACCUCAUCUUAUAGGAAACUACAUUUCAAUUUAGUAUGUCAAAGUUUAAACCCUCUUUGACAUUGCAAUACCUACGUGGAAGAAGCUAUUUUGCAUUGGUGAAGUGGCUUCCAUCAUGCUCAAGCAUGAGAGGUUUUUGGAAUAUGUUUUUUAUUGUUUCUUGUUAAAUAGGGUGUUUUAUGUAAAACAGUGUUGGCCAAUACCGUGGCUGAUUGUAUCUCUUGAGUUGCUGAUUGGGAGUUCAAGGUAACGGACUGAGCCAGGGUGUCUCACCUACGUGAAACAGUAGAUGGGUUGACUGAAUGGACUAGCGGUAGAUCCAAACACUUAAGAGCAAUGAGGCUUCAAGGUGGUCUUGCUGAUGGUGUCAUUCAAACAACAGAGGAGUUUGAUAAGCCUUAGAUUUUACGGUUUUUGAGUAUGGAGAAAGUGUUCGAGUUUAACCGAUGGGCGUUUUGGUCAUUAGACCAUUCAAGUUUACAGAAGCCUGACUGAAGUUACUUGCACUGAUUGAAGUUGUGUUUUGUUUACUAUUUUUUGGAACUAAAUAGAAAAUUCUAGGUCAUAUUGUAAGUUUCUAUAAGAUGAGGAGCUUUCAUAAUGAUAAAUACUGAUCAUUUAAAUAUUUUUUAAGUGAUUACUUAACCAAGGACAUCUUGGAUCCAUGAUAAAUAUUUUUAUCAUGUUUUUAUAGCAUAUAUCAUCUGAACAGUUUACUGGAUUCAUGGAAUAGAGUAUUAACAAAUGGUAAUACCAAUCUUAAAACGUUGCAGCCAUGUGCUUUUAAUUUUGUUAAAUGCCUUUCAAUGUUAUGCCUGACAGACAUUAUUAACAUUUGUUUUUCUUCUGCAGGGACUACUGAAAUUCAUCUUUAUUCUGCUGUAUACGAUAGCAUAACAAAUAAUGAUACAUGUCUGACAGGUCGUUAUUGGCUGGUUCUCUACAAGGCAACACCUCUGAUUAUGGAAUGGUUAAAAGGGGGCAUAGUUCAUAUGAUAAGCUGAAUGAACCUAAUUGUUUUGGUUCUAGAUGGUAUUUUUCUCGCAAGGAAAUUGAAGAAAAUUCUCCAUCCAGAAGAGAUGGAAUUGAAUUGAAGAAAGAGAAAAAUCUUCGGAAUUCAUACUGCAGUUUCUUGCAGGAUUUGGGCAUGAGGCUUAAGUUGUGAGUGCUCUAUGAUGCUUUAUUUUGUGUAACUACUUUUUUGGCAUGCAGAUACUGUAUAUAUGAAAAUAUAUAUCCAUAUCUAAUUUAGAUGAAACAGAGAAUUGGCAGCUCAUCUACAUGACAAAUUUAAGAUGGUUACCAUUGCAAACAAAAAAGAAAGAAAAAGAUUAUUUACUGCACAUCAAGUUUUGGUUUUAGGCCAUCCAAAAAGUGUUUGUAGUAAUAGUUUUCUAUGGAAUGUGAUAUUGUUUUUGAAGGCAUAGAAAUGCAGAUGUAGCUUAUUUAUCUUUAUUGAUCUAUGGCAAUUUCUAUGCAUAAUAUUAUUUACAGUAUAAGAUUUUAGCCCAACUGUUAGUAACUUUUGGUGCUCAUUCAUGACUCCUUCGAUCAUGUUACCAUUAUGUUUCAUCAUUGUUAUCUUUAUAGAUCUAUGGCAAUUUCUAUGCAAACUACUUUUUACAGCAUAGGUGUUAAGCCCAAUUGUUCUUUUCUUUUGGUGCUCAUCUUGGCCCUUCUUGGACUACGUUGCAAUUACAUCUCACUAACCUUGAAGAUUUAUAUUGAUCAUAUUCUAAAGUAUGAAAAGUUGCUUUCUCCAUUUAUGGCUUGAACUUGGAUGAAAAGUAAUACUGCAGGCCUCAAGUGACAAUAGCUACUGCUAUUGUGUUUUGUCAUCGCUUUUUCCUUCGCCAAUCCCAUGCAAAGAAUGACAGAAGGGUAAGUAUAUGGUGGUUCUUAUUUAUGACACACAAGCAUUUAGUGCAUUCUAUUCUCACAUGUGAUGUUUAUACUCUGGUAUGAUUCUUUGUUACAACUAUCACAUCUUUAAUUUGCAUGCAUUCUGGUGUAAUAGCUAUGACAGUCCUGAUGAAUGUUAUUCAGGAAAAAGUGAGAAAAAGAAUUUAUCACACAUUUGGUCCAAAAUUAAAUGAAUGGGAUUUUACAUGAUAAGUAUACAAAAGGACCUGUUAGUUUUAUGUAUUUCAUGCAUUUCAAACAACAGUUUUCUAUAAUUUCAGUAUUUACAUGCAACAGAUUGGUUGGUGUUGCAAAAAUCAAUUGUAGCUUAAAGGUGUUACUCUUGGGAUGGUGUGAUUUGUUACAAAGAUAUUAUUUUUGCAAAGCAGCCUUAGUUAGUUCCAGCAACCUUUGUAUGGUUAUCUAUCAUAAAUUUAGGCCUUAUGUUUGCCGAAAGAGCAUCGUUAUGCACAAUGCAAUCGACUACUGGAUUUGAAAAAUAUAUAGGGUCUUAUCAAAACUGUAAACAGUAAAACCACUUCUUUAAUCAGAGAGCAACUGAAGAAACUGUUGUAGGUUGGUGUAAGCCUGUAAUGACACAUUAUGGAGUGAAAGGUUGAAUGUAAAAGACAACAUGAAAUGGGCCAAAUAUCAGAUCUGAAUAUAUAUAGACUGUUCACCUGAUCAAAAGCUGGAAAGAGCAGAAAAACUUUUGUUGGAUUAAGAAGUAAUCAAAUAACUAUUGUAGAUUGCUAUAGUUAAACAUACAAAGCGAAAACUUGUAAAAGACUAUAUGAAAUGGUCCAAGUAUUAAUCUGAAUAAAAUAAAGGCUAUCACCUGACCUGAAGCUGGAAACAGCAGCAAAAUUCCUGUUUGAUCACGUAGCAACUUAAUAAAUUGCUGUGGGUUGCUGUAGCAGCACACGCUAUGAAGUGAAGGUUCCAGUAGGAAAUAUUAAUUGAGAAAAAUAGGUAGAUUGAAAGAACAUACCAGAAGAAAAAGCUAAGAUAGGCAAUACCAUAUGAGGUACAUUGAUUAAUAUUAGUGGUGUUAAAAGGGUUAUAUGGAGACAUAAGAAAGCUUUUCUAAAAGCAACAAAAAGAGAUGCGUCUCUCUUUUUUAACUAAAGAUAUGCCAUAUAUUAAGCUCAGUGACAAGAGAAGCCCCAUUUUGGCAGCCCCAAACAGUUGGGACAAUACAGCUUUUUGUUGCUGUCAUGGUGGUGGUUGGAAUCUUAACAUUGUUGAUGCCAUAGUAUCUAAUCUCUGAAAACUGUCUAAGUGGGUCCUAAUAAGCAACAGUAAUGUGUGAUAUAAUCAACAAUUUCUGUUUUGAUCACCUGGUAAAGUUUGCCCAUUCUUAUCUCAUCUGUAUAUGUUUUCUGCAGAUAAUUGCAAUUGCUUGCUUGUUCCUUGCUGGAAAGGUUGAAGAUACUUCUCGCCCACUAAAGGAUGUCAUUCUUGUUUCAUGUGAAAUUAUAUACAAAAAGGAACCUUCAGCUGUCCAGAAGAUCAAACAGAAGGUAUCCUGUGAUCUCUUUUCAUAAAUUUUUAUUUUUCAUUUGGCCUUUUGUAUUCAUAUUUAUGAAAGAAAUAUUGCUGCUAUUACUUUACCAUUUAUCUUGUUUUCUACUUAAGUUUUGAAUCCACCUUUUGUCUAAAUAUUGAAAUUCUGAAUUCCUUUUCUUGUGCGCAUUUCUGUUUUCAACUCUUUUGAAUUCCUUCCGUAGAGAAGGAAAAUGUAAAUUUACUCUGUGGCUUUUCUUAACAGUUUUGAAUGCGUCAUGUGAUAUGUUUGCUUGGUAAUGUGCAGGAAGUAUAUGAACAGCAAAAGGAACUCAUUGUACUAGGGGAACGGGUUGUACUUGCUACACUGGGUUUUGACCUGAAUGUGCUCCAUCCUUAUAAACCCCUAGUUGAAGCAAUAAAAAAGUUCAAGGUUUCCACACAGAAUUCUCUUGCACAAGCGGCAUGGAACUUUGUGAAUGAUGGGUAUGUCAGACCUUACCCUCGUGUUCAUCAUUAGUGAUCCCAUGUUGGCUAGGUCAAUCUAUUUGUGUUUCUUUUCCAUCAUUUAUACAUCCAAAAGGGGGGGAAUGCAGGCUGCGAACAUCGCUUUGCUUGCAGUAUAAGCCCCAUCAUAUAGCAGCUGGUGCUGUAUGUCUUGCUGCUAAGUUUCUUAAAGUGAAGCUGCCAUCUGAUGUUGAAAAGGGUUGGUGGCAAGAAUUUGAUGUCACCCCUCGGCAGUUGGAAGGUUCAUGUUUCAUAUUAGAAUACUACUACUCAGCAGGUAUUAUACAGUUAUUAUGGAGAAUAUUGUGUUUCAUUUUUUUUUUUUCAUAUCUAUAUUCCAGAUGUUAGCAACCAAAUGUUGGAGCUUUAUGAGCAAAACCGAUCAGGUCAAUCUUCUCAUUCUACUGAAGUAGAAGGAAACAUUGGUGGUAAUAAUAACGAGCCUAUUGUUACAACUUCAAGUGUUGGUAGGAGUUCAGUGUCAACAAAUGGGCAUGCUCAGGAUGCUGUGUUGACUAAUGUCGAGCAAGGAGGACAAACUCCAGGUCCUGCUUGGUCAUUUGGUUCACAGUCAUAUGCUGACAGUAAUCAUAUAGAUAAUCAUUGCAAACAAGGACAAGGUGAUGGAAAGGAGAGUGCUGGGUGUAAGAGUGAGAUUUGGGACCAUAAUAUGGGCGCUGAAGGCAAUGAUUGUUCAAGUAAUGAAUUUGAUAAGAGUUCAGACUGCAGGGAAAAUACUCUAGAAACUUCAUGUUGCUCUAAGCCUGAUCUACCACUGGGGAGUGCGGUGGUCAAUGAACGAGAUAAGGUGAAGGUGGAUAAGGAACUGAUGGAUGCAGGUUCAUCUACCAAAUCAUUGAGCAUCAGCAGGCAGAUCUCCGACUUUGGUGAAACUGCAAAAAUCUUCUUCCCACCAGAUUCCAUCAACAGAUGCAAAACUAAAGCUGCCUUAGAGAAGCAGCGGAGGCUUCAGAACAAUGGGGGACAGAAAAGAAAAUCAAUGGAUGAGCAUGAUGAUCUCAUAACAAGGGAUGGUUGUGAACUUCCUUGCAAGCUGGCUAGCCAGAGAGCUAUGGUUACAGGAAGAGAGCCAGAGUAUAUGCAGCAGUGUCACAAUCGUCACCAGUCAUGUGAUACAACAGGAUCCAGAGGCAACAGGUAAUGAAUCUCUCAUAUACGAGAGGCACUUGGAUGAGGAAUCUUUUUACUGGUUUUUUCGUUAAUAACACAGUCUAUGUACUUUUUGGCCAGUAUUGGUACUAGUAUCUGUUUAGUGGUACAUUUGCUCGUGAGGUAGAUUGAUGGCAUGAUUCUGUUUCCUUCUGGUUGCUGUGCAGGUUGGAGAAGUUGCAUAACAAGCCAUAGAAGAGAGGAAGAGAAGUCAGUCACAACACUAGUUACUUUGGUAUGUGGGGAUUCUCACGUGCAUUUUAAUAAAAUCUACUGUGCAGCAUUAUACUUACUUGUUGGAUCUUUACAAUGUUCUCUGGGCUCUUAGUAAUUACGUCGAGCUGAUGUGCAAAUUGGAUCCACAUACACGCUUUUGAACGGUUGCAAAUUUCAUGACAGAGAUAUUCACUGGUGUGCUGCGUGCAUUUAGCAACAUUUACUUUACAUGAAAGUUCAUGUUGACCGUUGGGGGGUUCGUCUUCUCUUCGGGAUUUGUAGAGUACAACAGAAAUAUAUUGCAGAAAUGGGUUAUACAAUUACGAGAGGAACCUAAAAAGAAACACACGCAUUAAUAUGUGAGAACAUAUUAAAAUAUUCUUGCUCGAACUCCCGGUUUGUUCUUGUCCGGAGCCGGCUGGUUUCUAUGAGCUUUUCGCCAUCCACCAAAGUGCUUCAGACCAUCUUUCGGAGCACCUGACACAAACAUAUAGCACCACAACAGGCAACAAACAGAACGAUUUAUUCUAGGCUAAGACCAUCCACUACACACGCAAGGCCACGAUAUAUAGUUCAAAUACUAAAUUAUUUAGAUCUCAAAAUCCAUGCAUAGCAGAAGACGAUACAGAAAACAAGACUACCAGACUCACAAAAAUCCUUGGGAAAGAGCAGACAUACGACAAUUGUCUCAAGUUUUAACGUAGAACAAUAAUAAAAUAGAAGCCAACCAUCAACCCCGCCACCGCCUGUCGAGCACCCAGUUCUGCUUCCAGACACCACCAGAUACCAUACCUGAGAGCUCGUCAACACGUCGGCACGGAGACAUGACAACAAGACUAUUAAUGACUCCAGACACGAAUGAUCCCCAAUCCUCAUUUCAUUUCUUCUUCUGAGCUGCUUUGGUAACCUUAGCGCCAGAGGGAUCCUUCUUCUCCACGCUCUUGAUGACACCCACAGCAACAGUCUGCCUCAUGUCUCUCACAGCAAACCUACCUAGUGGAGGGUAGCCAGAGAAGGUUUCCACCACCAUAGGCUUCGUAGGAAUCAUCUUCACAAAACCUGCAUCACCAUUCUUAAGGAACUUGGGCUCCUUCUCCAGCUCCUUGCCAGAUCGCCUAUCAAUCUUGGUUAACAACUCAGCGAAUUUGACUGCAAUGUGAGAGGUGUGGCAAUCCAAGACAGGAGCAUAACCAUUCCCAAUUUGGCCAGGGUGGUUCAUGAUGAUAACUUGAGAGGUGAAGUUAGCAGCCUCCUUCGCUGGGUCAUCCUUGGAGUUUGAGGCAACAAAACCACGUUUCAAAUCCUUCACAGCAACAUUCUUUACGUUGAAGCCAACAUUGUCACCAGGUAAAGCCUCCUGGAGUGCCUCAUGGUGCAUCUCCACGGAUUUGACUUCUGUAGUGAGUCCUGUAGGACCAAAGGUGACAACCAUACCAGGUUUCAGUACUCCAGUUUCAACACGACCAACAGGAACAGUUCCAAUGCCUCCAAUCUUGUAAACAUCCUGAAGAGGAAGGCGAAGAGGCUUGUCCGUUGGACGCUUGGGCUCAUUAAUCAAGUCAAGGGCUUCAAGGAGUGUCGGGCCCUUGUACCAGUCAAGGUUGGUGGAUCUCUCAAUCAUGUUAUCACCUUCAAAACCAGAAAUGGGCACAAAAGGAAUCUUAUCAGGGUUGUAGCCGACUUUCUUCAAGUAGGACGAGACCUCCUUAACAAUUUCAUCAUAUCGUGCCUUCGAGUAUUUGGGUGUUGUGGCAUCCAUCUGAAAAAAGAAUAUCAUAAUCCUUUAAAAAACCAAAAUUUAAAUAACAAAAGCAUCAUGUACCACAUGCAAUCACAUUGCAAAAUUACCUUGUUGCAGCAACAAAUCAUCUGUUUGACACCAAGAGUGAAAGCAAGAAGUGCGUGUUCACGAGUCUGUCCAUCCUUUGAUAUACCUGCUUCAAAACCACCAGUUGUGGAAUCAAUGAUGAGAACUGCACAGUCAGCCUGAGAAGUUCCUGUAAUCAUGUUCUUGAUGAAAUCCCUAUGACCAGGAGCAUCAAUGACUGUGCAAUAGUACUUCGUGGUCUCAAACUUCCACAGAGCAAUAUCAAUGGUGAUGCCACGUUCUCGCUCAGCCUUCAGCUUGUCAAGCACCCAGGCAUACUUGAAUGAUCUCUUGUUCAUUUCAGCAGCUUCCUUCUCAAAUCUCUCAAUAACACGCUUGUCAAUGCCACCAAGUUUGUAAAUGAGAUGUCCAGUUGUUGUAGACUUUCCAGAGUCGACAUGGCCAAUGACGACAAUGUUAAUGUGAACCUUCUCCUUUCCCAUUGCUUAUUUCUUGUUGAACUAAGGACUGUAAAAUGUCAACCAAGAAUAUAUCAGCCUCAAAACUAGCUUUAACCGAAUUACAUGACAACAAAAAAUUAAUAUAGUAGCACAGUGGUCAACUAUUGCAGAUUUGAUAAGUUCAGAUAGAUGGUAGCACUGUAGCCUACUGCAUUAUACAAUAUAACAAAGCAGUCACUACAGCCAUCACAUAGGGUAACAUGUCACUAGAAAUUAAAAAAACAAUUUAGAAGAAUGUAAAGUCAAUAUAUACAAAAAAAUAACUGAUAACCUCUCCUAAAGAUGGUUAUAUAUGUCCAUCAAAGUGAAUGGUAAAUGAUAAAUACAAAAAUGUACAAGCAGAUUGUAUCAUACAACAAUGUUUAUCAUAAAUUACCAAAUACCUAAAUUACAUUCAACAAUAACCACAACUUUCAUAUAGCAUUACAAUACCUAAUAGUCAAAUGCAUAAUAGGAGAGAAAUUACAAGCAAAGAUAAGGAAGAGAUCACAAACUAAGUACAAGCAAGACCACAAAAGAUCAAGGCACCAAGAUAGAGAAGGGGAGGAAAAACUAGUAUAGAGUAAUUGCAAGUUUUACCAUGCCUAUGAAAGCAUACCCUAACUCAUUUUUAGUCAUGAAGUUUCUUCCUAUAUUUUGUAAAUAAAAGGAAAUUUAAUUUCCAUGUUGUAUUUUGUCUUAUUUUAUCACAAUUUUCUAUUAAUGCUUGUGUUACUUAUUCACCAUAAAAUUGUUAGAUCCAAUAAUUAUACUUGGUAAUAGGUUUCGACACUAGACAAAACAACAACACAACAUUAAAAAAAGAUUAAAAAGCACAAAAUUUUUAUCUUUAAUACCUUUGCAUUAUCAACUACUUAAAAAUAAUAAUAAUAAUAAAUAAUAAUAGUUAAUUAAUUUAUCUUUAACAAAAACAAAAAAAAAUAUACUAUUGGAAAAAAAGAGAACGAUGAGCGGCUCAAGAAACUUCAACUAACGAAAUCUAAAAAUGAUUUGUCUCUAGUUAGUAUGACAAGAUGUGGUUUCUUUGGAACCUUGUAAAGUAUGACUAAUCAUACAUAUUCGGUCAUUAAAGGGCAAUCAUCAAGAUUCCACAAUCUUUAACAGUUCUUUCCGUUGAUCAACCUUAAAUCAAGCAAACAAAAGAUUAAACCAUCAAAGAAACACAACUUCCUACAGAUCGGAAGGAUAAACUACCAAACCACAACGUAGGGAAAGGAAAACGAGUGAUAAGAUCUAAGUUUUACGACGAAUCAUACAUCUUGGAUCAUUAAAGAGCAAUCAUCAAGAUCGAACAAUCUUUAACAGUCGUCCCAUUGAUCAACUUUAAAUCAAACAAACAAACAAGCUUAAGCCCAUGAUGAAACGCAGAACUUCCUACAGAUCUGAAGGAUAAACUACCAAACCACAACGUAGGAACAAGAAACCGAUUGAUAAUAUCUAAGUUCUACAGAACCGAAUAGCUUCCUACAGAUCAGAAGAAUAAACGACCAAACCACAACGGAGGAACAAGAACGCGAUCGAUAACAUCUAGGUUUCCCGAAUCAAACAAAAAAUACAACCAAAUCACGAGAGAGGAACAAAAAUACGAUUGAAAAGAUCUAAGUUACCUGGAUCGAACGAAAAAUACAACCAAAUCAUGAAAAACGAACAAGGAACGUUCGGAAAUCGCGAUUAACGAGAUCCCCCUACGAUCUUGACAAGAGAAUGUAAUACGCAUGAGAAGAAAUCUAACCCUAAGGAAGAGGGAGCCGAGGAGAGAUGGAGAGAUCGGCGGCCGCCGCGCUCCUUCGAGAUCGAUUUGCAAAGAGAGACAGAAACCCUAGCCCGACCCACUUGGAACUUAUAGCUGACAUGAUGACCUAAAAUGCCCUUAGGGUUUGCAUUGAUAACGAGGGUAAAUUAGUCACUUUACUAUGUCCAGCAUACUUUGUGGCGGCGGCGCGGUGGCGACCGAUGUUUUUAUUCGCACCCGUCUCUUCCGUACCCGCCGCAUCUACCCAUUCAGCACGCUGGGUGUAAGGCGGAAUGGACGUCUGUAAUUGGACGACUAACCAUCCGAGUACACAAAAGGUGACCGAAUUUAGUGUCCAUUUCUUUGUAUUGAUUGAUUGAUAAGAUUUGCUUAAGUAUAUGAGGAUUUCAAGAGAUUUUUGAUCGAAAGCUGAAGAACUCCUCUUGUUAAUAUAAUUUGUGAUCAUCAUCGUUCGUCAAUACUAUUAAGGUAAUCGGUCUAAAUUUAGGUGAAAACACAAUUCUCCUUCGACUUGUUCCAAGCUAUAUUGGAUCCGAAAAUGAUACAAAUGUCAAAGUUGAUGUUAUUUCUUGAUAGAAAUUGAUCGAUGUGAUGUUGAAUUUUUGCGCCAAUCGUGACUUGUGAUUCUUGGAUAUCUUUUUGCGUUACUCAACUUUAGAUUUAAAGGUCUAAUUUUUAUUGAUUGGCACAACACAUCCAACCAAAAACCUUAGGUGGGUUGGGCUUUGAUGUCUCUGCAUCCCUUAGAAUUUUGGCUUGGAAAUAGAGUCAUGUAAUAGAUCAAAGAAUGCCAAAUCAUUUUGAUCUCUGCAAGGAAGUCCAGUCCAUGAACUAUACAAUUCAAGGGCUGAGCCUUGCAAUUGGCCAGCUUGACCUGAUUUGCUAUCUUCAACAAUCUGUAGAACUUCCAAAUAGUUGACAUUGACAUCUUCUACAUUUCUCCUUGGCCUUGCUUCGAUUGCUUGAUUCACUAACUUGUGUAUCUUCUACAACUUAACAAGAUUGCAGUCAUCAAACAUGGAUCAUGUGCUUCCACUUCCUGCACUUGGCUCUAUGUUUAUUCUUUUGGUCUCUCUAUCAGAACAAAGACCAGGAGGUAUUCAGCUUGCUAGCAAGAAGACCCACCUUCUCAUACCUGUGAGAGGACAGUAAUAAAGAUUGCCUUUAGCUGCUUGCAUGAACUUACUUGUCUUGUUCAUGGCAUGUAACUCAUGAAUUCUGCAUUCUUGUUUUGGCCUGGUUAUGUUUUUGGUAUCUUUGGUAAGGAGUCGAAGCUGGCAAUAGAUGAUAAGAGCAAGGUGGUGAUGAUGAUUCACAUCAUGUUUGCAGAGGGUGACAUAUUCUUCCUUUCUUCAUUCUGAGCCUCUUGAGAAGGAACAUAUGCAUAUGUGAUAUGUUUGAGUGUGGUUUUGUCUUUCUCUUUCUUUUCUUUUCUUUUUCCCCCCCUUUUGUUUUGGUAAAGCCAAGCUAUAGAGAUGGUUUGAUUUGGAAUUGAAUUAGAUGUACAGAAUCUUUUGUGGCUCACACACUAUCUGUCUCCUCUCUCUCACAUUAGUAAUGCUCAGUGUUAUUAGAAGGUAGCAUGAAUAGAAUGUGUUUGUUUUCUCUUCAUUGUCGGAUAUGUUUUAUGCUAGCGAGAGAAUCAUAAAAGUGUUGGUGGGGUCAAGAUGUUGCCUUUGGUGGGGUUUGAGCUAUGCUUUUAGGAUAGCAAUGCAGACUUUAUCUGAAUUCUUCUUGUCUGGAAUGGGAUGUAGCUGCACAGAAUGGAACAGAAGAAGAGUGCAAGCUCAGAUGUUCCUGCUCUCAUGACCUUUACCUCAGCUGCUGCACCAAAGUCUUUUAUGUUCAUAUUUGGAAGACAUAUUAACAGAAAAGAUCUGAUCCAUCUUUCUGGCUCUGUUUUUUCUGCUCCAUAGUGCUCUUUGGAAGGUCUUCAGCUAUCCAAUCCCAUCACUUCUGAAAGGAUUGAUCAGAUCCAAGCAUGUCUCCAAAGUUUCAAGAUUAAGUGUAUCAAGCCUUUUGUACUAUAAAUCCAGUUUUUACCAACAUCUAUCCCACCAAAAAGACCCAAAAAAAGAAAGAGUUGCAAUUGAGUGAACACACAGAGUUCUUUGGUUGCACAAAUUGUCACAUUCUCACUAUGACAUAAUCACUUUGUCCUAAGAAAGAUGAAAUAAUUAUAUGUAUAUAUAGAUAGCUAUAAAGCUUUCCUUAAACUAAAGCUAAGCUUAAUCAAACUUAGGACAGAAUCCACCAUCUUUUAUUCUUCUUUUUGAUGCAGAGAGUGAAGUUGAGAGGAAUGAAACAAGCAAGUUUAAGGGAAACCUUCUUGCAGUAACAUACAGUAUAUAAAUAUGUGUGAUAUUGUGACAGUAACUUCAUUUAUAGUUCCGUGUAGGACUUGUGGAAUUCUCUAAGAAGAUUGCGAGAUCUUUGAAUGUUGGAGGUAGGCAGUGGGUCAAAAUUUGCUCCUUACUUUCCGAGACAGGUAAUGGCACAGUGUCAAACAGUGGUACUGUUGAAGACAUCAAGCUCAGAGGGAAGGCAGCGACGGACGUAAACCCUUAGAGGUUACCGGAUGCUUUGAAUCUUUUAGGAAGUGCCUGUAGGAGCCUUGUUUUCUUACCUUAUGUCCUUGGUUUUCUCUACUCGAAAAGAUUCUACAAAGAGAGUCUCUUAGUUGUCUUCUCCUGCAUUAAGGUAGGGCUGAAAAUGAUCAUCUUCUUCAUUAGAAAAGAUCCUGUAAAUGAUAUAUAAGAAGCUCAUGAACUUUUUGGCUAUACAGAUCAACCUGGAAUGAUGAAUCUUUAGGUAUCUUCUCACACUGACCUAAUAAAGAAAUAAGUAGGCAGAAUAACUUGUGCUGGAAAUAAUGAUACAAUCUGCAAUAGGUUAGGGCUGAAAAUGAUGAGAGCAAAACUUUAAAAAGUCAUACAUGAAAAGUAAUUUUAGCUCAUUCCAUAAGAUGUGAAGUUUAAAUCUACUGAACUAUAUAUUUUAUGGUACCAUAUGACCUAAAGAAGAUUAAACAUUAUGUUGUAAACUGAUAGAUUCUGGAAAUUUUGAAUGAGGAAAAGGAAAACUAUGAUCAUUACUUGUAUGCACAAAGAUUUGAAAUCAAGUUGAUACAACAAGCACACCAUAACUGCAGAAACAUAUGAGCUCUAACCUGACUUGUUUUUGAUAUCAGGAUACAAAAGUACCACACCCAGUGAAAUGUUCUGUGCAUAUAUUAUACUUCUUUCAGACUGAAAGGUACACAUCCUCACUGCACAAACUCAAAAAACCAUUAACUGAAGAAAAGGGAUUGAGAACCAUAGCACAAGCAUAAAAAAAAAUAAACAUGCUUUAUGAUCAAAUUGUGGAGUUUGAUAGAUGACUUUGUCUUACAUUAGGCUUUGUGUCAUACAAGUUGUCUUCACAUCUUCAAAUUUUGAAUAUGAGGAGAUAGUGGACUUUGUAUGUGCCCAACAGGUAUUGGGGCAACCAUAGCCUUCCACCAAACCAUUCUCCCCAUGGAUUGCUGGUACUUGGAAGGCAGCAGUACAUUUGGUCACUAGUCUCUGUUGGACAUAUGGAUCCAACACAGGAUGCAAUAUGGCCACCACCACAGUCCACAUGCAAUAUAUUCCAAGUGAAGUCUGAGGAGGUUCAAUGUAUUAUACAAUGAGACAAGCUGACCAUUCAAUAGGCAGCAUAUACAAAUAUACAGUCUGAGUAGGUUGAAUGUAUUUAUCCGAUAUAUUCGGUAUAAAGACCUAUAUCGUCCGAUAUAUAAGGUCUAUAUCAUGUGGUAUAGAAUUUUUAUUGAUUAGUAUUUUUUUUUAAUUUAUCUUUAGCUCGAUACGUAUCGAUGUGUCGAUAUGCUAAGCUUAGAUGUUUAGAGGUCCGAGAUCGGGAGAAUAUAAAAUUACUAAUGGUUGUAGUAAAUUUGGGCUUUAGUUGAACCAAUCUGACCUUCCAAUUCCAAACCAAAGAGAUGGUGGGAAAGUUUUGAUGAUUAGAGUAGAAAAAUGGGGUCUUUGCAAAGGAUGUGCAAGAGAAAAAGAUGGAGUGAGAGUGCUACAUGCAACAUAGACAAGGAAUAAUCCCCACAUCAGAGUCGAGGUAGGAUUAGGUCAAAAGGGAUGGAGGUGGGAGUGAAGUUGCCACCAAACAGUCCUAUCAAAGUCCUUCACCAUUGAUCACUAUGAACAUUAAUCAUAAUUUGCCCACCACAUUUCUUUUUGUAUUUAAUUCAACUAUGCUAUCCAAUAAUACAUAGAGUGAGUAGGGCUAGUAUAGGUGUAAAUCCAGAAUCUGAUACUGAGAGAAAUGGCCUUUCAUGGAGUCCACUCAGGUAGCUCAGACUGAUCAAUUUCCCAUGGAAUUUAGCUCAUAGAUGACAGAAUCAUCAUACCCCCAACUUGAUGCAAGUGAAGAUUAUUCUUGUUAGGUUCAAUUCCAUCAAUGGUCAUGUCAAGCAUUUGGUCCUUCUUUUGUAGUUGUGCUGUAGGGGUCAUAGGUGUGAUGUAUUAGUAAUACCAAUGCAUGUAGGUUCAUAUAGAGAGAUGAUAAUUAGCACAAUUAAGUUGUUUCAUAGUCCCUUCAGUGGUAGUGCAGCUUCUACAAAUUCCCCUAACUCAUCACAUCAAUGUUGCACUCUUCUUUCUCCCUCUCCUCAUUUGUUUAUGUCUUGCCUCCAACCCUUUCAAUGUUACUUUUCUUUUUUUCCCUACUAUUAUCUCUCUCUCUCUCUCUCUCUCUCUCUCUCUCUCUCUCUCUCUAUAUAUAUAUAUAUAUAUAUCUCCUCACUCUUACUUUGACUGUAUACUAUCUGACUCUUUCUGCCACCACCAUGGUUUCAAUCUUUGGGCGUUGGCCUUUUUGAGUGUAAAGCUGAGUAGAAGUCUCCCCUCCCUCUUUCUUCCUGAGAUGGUUAAAUAAGAAGCUAUAGCAAGCCAUCCUUACCUUUCCUCAAUCUUUAUCUCUCCUCAACGCCACAGCCCCCUUCAUUCAUUCUCUCUCUUUAUUUCUUUGACUAUUCCCCUCUCCACUCUCCUCCUUCUCCUCCUCCUCAAAGCUUCUUCCACAGCCCAUUCUUAGAUCCAUGGCUCCUACCAGAGCACUACAGAUCCAAAAUAUCUUCUUCUUUCUAGUGCUUUAUGCUCUUUCUGUAAUCAUGGCUUCCUCCUCUCUCUUUGCCUCCCUCUGUUAAGUGCUACUGCUAUAUAUUAUCUUCUCUUCCUGACCUCUCAUGGACUCGGUUAACAGCGGGAGCCUUCAGUCCUCCAGCGGCGAAGGCAAUGAGUUCAACUCAAGCAGUGCCGACUCCCUUUCUGCCUUCUUCCGAUCCACCGCCGCCGCCGCGCUUCCGCCUCCGCAACCGCCACCGCCCUCCUCCUCGGUCCACAACCACCACUUCUUCGACCCCAUCUCCUACCUCGACUCCAUCACCUCCACCACCCCCUCCUGGCCGCCUCGCGCCCUCCGCGCCUCCCAUAAUGUCGGCGUCUUUCCCUCCAUCACCACCACCCCCUCCUGCUCCUCGCCCGACGUCAACUACCCGACGCCGGUGCAACCGCCCGACCUGUCCGCCGCCGCGCCACGGAGCUCGAAGAAGCGGUCGAGAGCCUCACGCCGGGCGCAGACGACGGUGCUGACCACCGACACCUCCAACUUCCGCGCCAUGGUGCAACAAUUUACCGGCAUACCAUCUCCUCCGUUCGACAUCGCCCCCACCGCUACGUCUUCGUCCCCCUUUGCCAGAUCACUCCUCAACGUCUUCCGUUCCGCUGCUGCCUUUGGAUCCACCUCUGCCCCUCCGCCGCCGCCUUUCCUCCUCCGGCCCUUCCAGCCUAAGGUCCAAGGUUCUACCUUAACUACAACUACCACUACUGUUACCACUGCCCCCGCCAUCUGUUCUUCUUCUACUACCACUGGUUCUAACGCUAGCACAAGCUUUGCUGCUACUAACAGUACUAUCUUCGAUUCCAGUCUCAGUGCCUCAGCUCGAAUUUCUACUACUAGUAGUAGUGCUAAUCCAUCUAAUAACAACAACAACUACCAAUUGCCUUCACCUACUCUUGCAUAUGGCAGCAAAAGCCAACCACUUCUGAGCACCCAAAACCACAUGCUUACCUUGCAAUCCCUUCUCCACGCAAAGUGCACAAAGCCUCAAAUUCCUAUGCCGUCAGCCGAGCAAUCGAGAUGGACCAACGGGUACCCAACAGAGGCCGGCGAUCGUGCUCGGUCGAGUCCGAUCUCUGCAGGAAACUCCAGUGGCUCGCAGCAAGGAAUGAGCAGUUGCAAGCUGAACUACUUGGCGCCGGGUUCAUCGGAGUGCAGUGCGGAGCAAGGGUCGGAGCGCGCCACAGCGUCGAGGAGUGAAGGUGCGAUGGACUCCUGGAUUUUUUCUUCAGAUUAGCAGAUAGAGAAGACUUUGUCGUGGAGGCAAAGAGGAAGCAGAUUAGGGCUCUUGACUGCAUCUGUUAUUCAACUGCUAAGGCACUUUGCAUCCAUGACUCGUUUUAUCUUUCAUAGAUUGUGUAUAUGAAUAUAGGAUUUCUCUUGUGAGAUAUCUUGAUGGCCAUUUUUGUAUCCAAGGAAGACAUGUCUGAGAACAGUGGUGGAGGGUAAAAGACAAUGCUCUUUCAGAUGGAAGAGAGAGAAAGACACUGUGGUGCAGUAGUGCAACUGUGUCAUGCUUGGUCGAGUAGGAAAGAUUUGUGUUGCAUCAUGUCGUUCCUUGGUUUCAACGACUGUUAUAAUAUAUGUGAGUUUGGAUCAUGUUGUGGGAGUGAUUGGUGGCGAGAUUUGGGGAAUCAUGAGCAGAAUCUCUAGGUGUUAGAACAGGAAUACCUCCAGGCUUAAAGAAAUGAGCGAAGGGAAACUUCCUUUGGAACUGCUCCACAUGAAGUGUUCCCCAAGAACGCACUCCACCCAAUAAACAACAGCAGUCCCAACCACCAUCUGUCUAUCGGAAACAAUGAAUCAAGAGAAGGCCAUGCAUUAGCUUAAUGUUAUAACUUCUCUGGAGAGAGAGAGAGAGAGAGAGAGAGAGAGAGAGAGAGAGAGAGAGAGACCAAAGUCAACUUCUGCUACGGCUGUUCAUUGGUAGCGUUUCCGGAGACUAGUAUCCAACGUAGCAUUCUUCCCCUAUGCGAGUCGAAGAUCUCACUGAGCUCAGUCAGAACCCCAUUCCCGUUCCCAUUCCAUCACCAGCAUACCUGUGUCUCGGGUAUCAGAUACAUCAUGCUUGGAAGCGUAUGGAUCAUCAGAUCAGUAAUAUAUCCACAAACGCGACUUCUUACAUCAUAUUUCUGAAGGGACCAAAAGUUCGAAAAGAAGGAUGAAUUGAGACCACACGGGUCACUGUCCCCUUGAGAAUAAAAUCCAACACUGUUUCCCUUGUUCCAAGAUAUGUCAAUCUCUGAUCAUGUUUUCUUCUCUGAGAACGAGGGAGAUGUGUACCGUAGGCAUGAUACCAAGUAUCCUUCUCGCACUUCUUUUCAGAAUGAUCUGGACAGCUGAUUAGCCAUGGGGUUAUGGGAAGAUUGAGCAAUGAGGUGAGAGGGAGAUGUGCAUACCUUUCAAGCACAAAGUUGAUUGAUUUAACAAAAGUGGGAAUAAUAAUGGGUGUCACAUGAAAUCAUAGUGGCCAUGGCAGGGAAUAAUCUGUUCUCUCGCAAUGAUGUCUCACUUCCCCCCCUCCCCUUGUGGGUCUUGUGAGGCAGACUGUUGAGUCUUUGCUCAAGGCAGGGUGUGGGGGCUCUCCCAACUCCCCCAGCCAAACACCGGCCCUCCCUCCUCAGAAGUCCUACAAGUUAGAGCCAACCUAAAAGAUACAAAGCUUUUCAGUUCUUGCUGAAAAGGCUGACAAGAAGUGGAAGCCACACUCCACCCUCUAAGAAAAGCAUUUACUCAUGCACCAGCAUUUGGUGUGAUACAGCAAACAAGAAUUACUGGAAAGAUGUGAAUGGGCAACUCCUGCCAUUCAUUUCUCUCACCUUCUUAUUCAUCAGUUUAGCUUAUACAUCUGAACUGAUAGAACCACAAAUUUAUCUUUACUUCAAUUUACAGUCCACCUGAUAUGACAUCUAAUAAUUUUGGAGGGCAUAACAAUCAUGAAUUUUGCUGAGAAUAUUUACUUUAUGAACUAGCAAAUGUACUCUAUGACAAACCCCAAAAUGAAAGCAGACUGCAAGCUGACCAGAGCAGGCCAGUGAAUAAGAUCCUAGCAUUUGACUUGUAGCUUAGACUAACAAUGCCUGGUUUGACCAGACCAGAGACAAGUCUAGAGACAUUGCUUGACCGGUCAACUGAGAUGGAUGAUUCACAAUUUUGUUUUUCUACAUUUUCUUUUGGUUUUAGCUUCUUCUACAUACAUAUUAUGUCUCAAAGCUAUACCCUACUUACUAUAACUCAGAAAGGUAAAAUCACCAUGAAGCUUGUCAAAUGAUUUUUUCUGAGCAGUUAGAUGGCUAUUUCCCUGCAGAAUAAUAGUCAAAUUUGCCUGACAAGAUGGAGAAAGGAUGUGAAUUGGUUAUCUCUGAUAAAAUGCAGACUGGUAGCAGAGUCUAUCAGUGGACUCCUCAAUGACAAAAAGCCAAUUGAAAGAAACUUGAAACUGCUGAUGGAGAAGGCAUGUAUCACAGUCAUUCCAGUUAAGACACAUUGGUAGCAGAGUCUUAGUAGUGGGCUGCUUGAUCACAUAAUGCCAAUUACAAGAUAGUUCAAACUGAGAUUAGUAGCUCACCAUGGUUGUGGGAUCCUCAUGUGAACAAAUAAUUAUGUUGGAAAGAUUGGUAGGCUUCACAGUGCAUAAUGAAUGGGGAAAACCUCCAACCAAUGAUUUCAUAAGAUUGUGAAAUUAAAUGUACAGAAAGAAAGAGAGAAAAAAACAAGAGGAGAAAACCCAAAUAAAAAAUGCUUUGACAGAACAAAAUAAAAGGGGCACCCUAGUCACAAGAAACUGCAGCAAUGCAAGAUUGAUGGUUUAGAUUAUCUGAGAUUUUUGUUGUUAUUUUGGCUUUUUUGGGAGUAAAAAACAGUUCUAACAAUGUGAAAAAGAAUGCAAAGAACAAAACUACAUAACAGAGAAACUCUAUAUGAAAAGUAGAUGAUUUCAAUAAGCAAUUUGAGGAAGAUAUCCUGGAUUUACCUUCAUAAACUCUUUUAUUCUACAAUGAUGACUAGUAGCCUAUCAGUCACUCUCACCUUAUUCCAUGAUUACAUAUACAAAAGUGACUCUGUUGCUUUUUCAUAUUAAAUCAUCAAGACACAUGACACUCAUAUACAUGACCAUCAGUACAAUUGAAUCAUUAGCCCUAAUUCAUAUUUGUCUUAUCUUUUUGACAGUGUACCACAACUUUGACCAAGACUUAGAAAGAACUUGUAUAAAAACCUAAGCAAAAUUCCUGGUGAUGAAAGGUCCAAAAUAAAAUUUCAAGUCUUGCUUCAGUCCAGUUAUGAGUUCUCAUGGCAAAGAAAACUAAAAGUUUUAUACAAAAGGUAAAGAAUUUGGACAAUUAAUUAAAUGAAAAGCUCAUUUUUUAUCUUUAAGAAGCAUGAGAAAGAAUAAAAGCUCUCCAAUAAGUUCACAUCUCCCUUUGAUUUGGUUGAUGAGACUCCUAUCUACUAGCUCACAACCUUCUUUGUCCUAUGUACAUAGGAUGUGACAUAGGUAAAGGAUGCAGGGAAUUUUUUUUGUUUAGAUAUGAAGGGAGUAGAAUCUACUAGGUUUUAGGAAAGUACAUAGUGAUCUUUCUUUUUCACUCCUUUGAUUUUUAUUUUAUGAAGUUGUCUAAUAAUUCAUCAAUGUACACUUGAUGAUUUGGAAUUGCAUGCUAAACUACAAAUGCAAGUAUAUGGGUGUUUUUAAGUCUUGAAUUCAUCUCUACUACUCUACUGUAAGAAAUCAAGGUAGAGUUACAUAGUAGCAAGCUUAGUUUCAUCAUGCAACAAUAACAAGCCAUAAUUUUCAGGAUUUAUUCUCACUAAAUCAACAUUUAUUAGGGAUGAUUUUCCUACAUAAGAUAUACUAAAUUCUUACUAAUACUUACAAGGAAUGUGCAUUUUUUGAUAAAAGAAAUACAAGAAGAAAGACAAAGGAGAGGAAUUCUGAAUCAUAUGAACAAAACUAAGCUUAUAGGCCAAACAAAGUAUCCAAUUAUUUGUCCAAAAUCAAAUUAAUCAAUAAUUUCCCAAGAAUGUUUUCUUUUAUUAAAUUAUCAAUUAAUUCUUAAAUUAUUUUUUAUUGGUUUAGGAACAAGUAAUUUGUCACUAUCCAUUAAUUCUAAAAAUAGUUUUAGCAUAUCAAAUGUAAUCUGAAACCCAAAAUCCUCAAUCUCUUCUCAUCAAUACCAUCUUAUUUUUGGGGGCAACAAGUCAUAUUUAUCCCAAUUGCUAUCAAUCAAACAAGAUAUGUAGUAAAGUAAAAACCAUAUUUCACUUAAACAUCAUGAUUUUGAUUUACUAACAUAUUAACUAACAUUUUAACAUUAUGCUUUUGAUAUAAAAAUCUAUAUCCUAAUUAGCAUAAUAUUUCUGUUGAGAUAAUCGAGUGCAUUAGUAUGAUGUUAUACAAGUGAUAUGUCUCAUGUUGGAGUUACAUUUGAGUAUAUAAUUUGAUGUAAUAAUAUAUUUUUUUUAUUUUUUUAAAAUGACUGUCAUAACAAUUAUAGGUAAUUAAAAUUUGGGCAACUAAAAAUCCAUUUUAACCUUAAAUCCUCAUCUCUUUAUUAAUAGGAUAUUAAUACACUAUUAUUUUAAAUUAUUUUAUUAAUUAAAAAAUAAUUUGAGUCUCUCAUCAAAAUUUAAUAGGAAAUUAAACAAGCAAUUAUAAGAGUAAUCCAAUUUGAGUUAGGAGAGUCACAAAGAGAAGCUUUUAAAUCCAUAUUUACACACACACAAAAAAGGGUAGAUAGUGUUCGACCCACGGUGUAAGAGCAACUAUUGGGACCCACAGUGUUCGACCACUCAGCAUAAGGGUAGCUAGUGACGGGUAGAAUAAUUCCGCUUCUAGAAACAGACUGGUGGCGGCAGAGCAACAGAGUCUGUCCGGUCCCGGUGAAACUAGCGGCGGUCGUGGGGUGCGACGACGAGGUGGGGACGGCGCUUCAGGCCUCGCCCAAGGGUCUCAGCUCCCUCACUCUCUUCCGCUCCUUCGUCCAGUACUCCUGCUACACCCCGGGUACACUCCCACCCGCUGCCCUCGGCGCCUUCCUCUGGGCCUCGGCCACCUUCCCCCAGGUGCGUGCCUGAAGAUUUACCUUGAUUUGUAAGUCACAUUUUAGUCGGUAUGACUUGAUGUCGGUGGGUUUGCUUCGUUAAGAUCUGGAAAUGCGGAGGUGAUUUUGGCUCCAAAAAAUUGGAUCUUGUAGUUUGCAUUAAUUCCUGUUUUUGCAUAUGCUAACAUAAUUCCACUAUGUGGGUUCAGUGUAUCUGACAAACAAUGUAUGACACACAUAGAAGUCCUUUGUUCAAUCAUUUCUUGCUUAUAGCUAUUUUCCAAAAAAUAGAGUUUGGACGCAGCUGUUUUGGUUGACAACUGAACAUAAUGUUAGAGUUGCUGAUGAAUAUUAUGUAGUUUGUAGGACUGGAAACAUAGAAUUGGAUCCAAAUUGGAGGAUAGGAAGAACUUAGACUAUUUCAUUUCAUUCUUCUUGGUUGUCGCCUUCUUCAAUUGCUUGCCUUAUGGAAAAAAAUGUCUAAACGCAAUCUGGCUUGACGACUAUGAUAAACAGGAAUUGUUGUCAUCAGAUCUUUAUUCCUUCGACUUACUUUCUCCGAAACCAUCAAAAAUUUCCUUAGCCAACUUGCUUGAGAAGUGGCAAUCGAUGUUGAAACAUUUUCGACUUCUACAAAAGAUUGUGUCACUGUUAUUACUGCAUUUUUAAACUCGAAGAAAAUAUACCUAAACCAAUAUCUAACAUAACUAAAAGUUCCCUUCAUAUCAUUAUUAUGUCCACCAAAAAAUCCAGUCAACUAUUUAAUAGAUGGAAUUAUAUGAAUCAACCGGUUGGAUGGGAAGAGAGUUAUAACGUUUUUCCCGAAGAAAGCUAAUCCUAUUUGUUAAAAAUAUGCAAAGGAUUCAUUUUACGGAAUCACAAACUCAGUUGUCCGCGAUCAAUAAAAGAUAUGUUGUAUUUGUAGCACCAUCAAAUUAUGUGGAACCAGUCAUUAAAUAAUGAAUACAAGGUCAAUGGAAUCAUAUCAUGAACUAUGUAGCUCUUAGUCUUUGGUCAUAUAAUGAUACUUUUGAUCACUUUCCACUGGGUUUUCUGAUGCACUGAGCUGCAAACCUUAGGAGAUAAAACAUACUCCAAUAAUGUUGUUAUAGAUUAAAUCAAUGAUGGUUCCAUCUGAAUGAAGUGCAUGCCAGCACAAGUGAAAGAUCUGGUCAAGUUGGCAACGUUGUCAUGAAAAAUCACAUUAUUAUUCUUGCACAGGGACCAUGGAAUCAUUGCCAUCGUAGGCCCUCUCACUGGAUUUGUAAUGUCUUCUGUUAGGUCGAAAGAUAUGGGACCUCUCACUGGAUUUGUUAACUUCACCUGGAGGAGAGUUAGGUCGAAAGAUAUGGGACCUCUCAGAAAUCCUUUUUCGAGCUUUAGAUCUGUCAUGGGUAAUUUCUGGCUCCUGCUUUCCUCUGUGAGCAUUCUUGUUAUUGAUUAUCAUGACCUCUCCACUGAAAUAGUGCACCCUUUCUUGUUCUCAUCAUGGGAAAUGGCCAUCUUUUGGAAUGGACCAGCUACCAAUAUGCAUGUUAGGCAAUCUAGUCUUAUACUGCUUUUUUAAAUAUAUUUAUUAUAAUUUAAAUGAAGUAGCAUAAUCAUGAAGAUUAUGAACAAAAUUGUUAAUAUGACAAUCUAACGUAAACUGCAUAUCAAUCCUGACAACCAAAUUAUCAUUUUUUUCCUUUGGAUUUUUUUGCUUACUAAUUUAAAGUUCAAUAAAACACGAUUCACGUAUUCUUGAUUAGGACUUCAUGAAGAAGAGAAUUAUUUUGCCAAUUCUAUUAUUUUUAUGAGACAAAUGGCCUAAUUCUCAAGCAUCGAUAAUAAUUGCAUGGGGAGGAUGCCCGAACUAAAUUCACAUAAAUGAUGAUAUGUUGAGAGUUACUAAUUGUAUUCAGUCAUUUCAUAUUUACUUAUCUACAAAAUUCCUUAUUUGUAUGACAAUUUUGUCUUUGGUGCGUGCAGCCCUCCAUUUGCAGAACUUGUUCUACAGAUAACAAGGUUUUGUACACAUGAAAUGGAUAGAUUCCUAAGCUCCAGAUUGGCUUCAUGUGCUACGCUGCUGGUUGAUGAUUAGCUUCCCCAUUGAUGAAUACAUGGAUACAGGUGUAGGUCAGACACUGUUAUAAUCCCACAGCUUAGGUUGAUGUAACAUAGACCAACAUGAAUUUAUCCAACCCAACUCUUUAAUCUCUAAACAUGAACAAUCUUAUAUUUUCCCUACUCAUUUGGAUUACACAAGAAGUUCUUUUAGUCAUACAUGUGACGUCAAAUUUUCUUUUGUUGUGUCCUUAAAUCUCUUGUCUUCUUCUCUAUGGGAAUCUUCGAUCUGUGUGAACUUUUGAUGUCUUUAUUUGUGCUUCUUGACUCCACAUAUCUGAUCUUUAACCUUUUGUGUCUUCUAGUUGGCCUUUCCUGAUCCUUGACAUUGUUGCAGUUGCAGGACUUUUUUAUCUUAUUAAUAAUGCAGCAGUUAUUUCAGUUUACAAUCUCUGGACUCAGCUGAUACAAUUAAAAUAUUGUUUUUGGACUUCAAACUUCAAAGUGUGUGCUCUUUCCAAUAGCUCCAAUCUGUUUGUGUUCUAUUCUUUAUUCUAUUGCAACUUUUAUUUGAAAAAUGGAUAUUGGUCAGUGCUGUCAAUAUAAAGUCCAAAAAAAAAAGUGUCUGCAAAAGAGUGUCAAUGAAUGUGAUGUUAGGUUCAAACCAUUUUUUACUUUUUGUUUCAUAUCAUACAAUCUUAUGUCUCUGUACAAAAGCUAUAAACUUUCUUUAAAUCACUUGCUAAUUUCAUUUUCUUUUCUCUGGUACUGCUGCCUCAAUUGCUCUGAAAGCUCCAAUUUUUUGGUCAAAGGUACUGUUUCAUGCAAGGAUACUGUGACUUGUUGUAGUUGGUGGAAUUCAGUCUCAAGUUGCUGCUUAACUUAGAAGCUAAAUGAGGUCCUGAGACAAUAACUUGUCUGUAAAGUCUAGGUUAUGACCUGGUAUCAUUUUGUAGGGCAGAGGGGAGAAGAAGACAUCACACGAACCACAUGCAAGCUUUGAUCCCAACAACACCCAGAAAACCUGAGCCAUCUCCCUGCACAAGGAUUAUGCCAGUACAGAACCUACUGUAUUGAAUUCUAAGUUGCUUGAUCUCAAAGGGAUUCUCUCUGUCAGGUGUCUUCCACACACACAGCUUCAACCCUGCUGUCAUCAGCAGUAGCAGCUUGGAAGUGGAAGACUGCCAAUGACUUUUCCAUUAUCUCUAUUUGGCUUUCUCUUUUUUUCUCUCCCUUAUGUGCUCCAUAAAAUCAAAAAGUACACUUUGUGAAGUACUUCUUAAACAUAACCCUUAAAUUUCAUAAUAUAUUUAUUUAUGUUUCAUAGCAGUAUAAAUUGUUGUCAUCUGAUAUAAAUGAUUAUUAAAUGACACUGUUGAAUGCUGAUACCAAUCAAUGGCAGGGGUGGCAAAACUGCAAAUCUAGUCACAAUAUUUGAAACACAAAGUGAGAAAGGACGUUGGGAUGAUAACAUCCACCAUUCAACUUCGCACGUGCCGUCGCGUGCGUAAAGUCCACUGAGUUGUCCUUUGAGAUCCAGUCACCGGUUCCGGUGUCCCUACCGCCCUAAGUUUUUCUUAAUUAAUCGCACAAUGUUAAGGUCGUUAAUUCAUGAGCAGUGGUGCGGUAUGAAACGGUGCGGUGAUUCGAUCCUUGUCGAUAAAGGAAGAAAGAAUUGAGAGUUGCUUUCUCUCUGCUCUUCGUUUCUUCUUUCUAUCACUACUUCGUCUUCACUCCACAGCCCAUUCCCUCUCAAAAUAGCGGGAGGAGAAAUGGAUCGGAGUCCGCCGGUGAGGAAGUCGCACACCUCCACAGCUGAUCUGCUCACAUGGUCUGAAACGCCGCCACCGGCAGCUAUCGAUCAGGCUGUGUCGGCCUCCCGCCGGACUCUCAAGGUGAAUGCACGCCCCUCCCCGGCCCGAAAAUGCCUGCUUUAUUGUUCUGCUUUUUCUUCUUACCCGGCGGCUUGGGGUUUAUCCUCGUGUCUUCUCACAGCCGGCGGGAGGGAUUAGCCCGGUGAUGUUCGGGGCGCAGAUGUCGGCGGAGGAAGCGGAAAGCUUGAACAAGAGGUGAGAGAUCCGGUCUGGUGGCUAGGGUUUUGGCUGAUCCUAGUUUGCUUUCGAUGAGGCGACCAUUUAUUUACGAAAGAAAUGCCCACUUCCCUCUUUUGCUGUUGCUUUCUUGGAUGUGGUUAACCGGUCGAAGAGAUCUGCUUUUAGUUUGUCGGGUUCCCUGAUCUGUUCGCAAGAUUCGAUUUUUCUUGACGCCUAUUUACUAUAUUUAAGAAACGAGCUCUUAUUUGACACUACCAUAUUUCGUGCUAAUGAUCUGCUUGGUUUUUGAUCCACGGAUUCUCUUUUGUUUCUCCCCCUUCCCCUCUCCCUUUUUUUCCCUAUGAUUUAUUUCUUUUUGAACUCUUCUGAUGGAUCUAUAUUAGAUGUUAGUUUAAUUUUUUUUUUAGUGUAUGAAUGAUAGCUAUUGUGAAGUGGUAUAUUUCUUUGAGAGUUUAUGCAACGAUUUUUAUUUAGGCCAUACUUAUAUUUUAUCUAUUGAAAAUCCUAGUAUUGUCUCGUUGAUUACUAUCUUUCUGUUUGGAAAUGAGAUGCUAUAUGUCUGUAAUAUUACACAUCAAGACAAGUACAAGACCGUAGACUGUCUUUUUGAAAAGAAUUGCUACCAAUUGACAUUUUAAAAAGAAAUUCUCAGCAGAUAAAUGGUUUUAAAUACAACACAUCAGAGGUAUUUCAGAAUUGAUUCCUCGUAGGAACAAGCUCAAAACAACAAAAGCACUUGACAACUAAGAAAUUCUUUUCUAGUCUCUACUAUAGUUGUUGUUUGCCCACUAACAUGGUUAUUUUAUUUGUAAGAGCACACUAUCUAAUCUAAUGUAGUAAGCACCUUAAGUAAGAAAUGCAAAGUGUACCAUAACUCAACUAAACAUUGGAACCCCACUAUCCACAUAGCAGAAGUCAAGCUAAGUGGCUAACAGCACUUGUACCAGUUAAUCUUACAGCUAACAGCCUUAACACUAUCACAAUCUGCCUUGAUGGGAUGUUUGACUUUGUUGAGCUCAAAUCAUUAACUCAAAAUGCUUAGGCCAAAGUCAAUAAUAAUACAUCCAUCAGACCCUGGUAAGUCAUUCUAAAUCUUAGUCCAUUUCCAAUGUGGGGGCUAAAUCAAGGUGUUGUUAACACAGUGAACCAAGGGAUUAAAACUGCAGCCUCACAUAGAAACUGGUUUCGACUGUCCUGUUUUUGACUUCUGACCUGCAUUCUAGUAUUGAGAUGUAUCCCUUUGUCUUUCUUUUUUCUUGUCUUGUUCAGUUGUUUUCUUAAAAAACGGAAGUGUAAACAUUAAUGUAUCUUACCCUGCAAGUAUGGUAUUGCUAUGCUUUAGCAAGUAGGACGAGCGUUACAUUUCCUGAUAACACCAGCAAUAAAAUAUUUAAUUAAACUUCGGAUAUUGUUGUAAAUUUAUACCUGAAGAUGAUUUGGUUUUCAUUUUCAUUAUUUACCUUAUGUGAUUAUGUGAGCUAAAAACCCUCGUAUUUUCUAGGAAACCCUGUUCAAGCUCAAAACUGCGAGAAAUGACUGGCAGUGGUAUCUUUGCAGCAGAUAAUGAGAAUGCGAUAAUGGAAUCUGGUAAUGCUGUCUCAAAUCAUAAUACUAAGACAAGUGUUAGAAUUUGCCAGGUAACUUCUCUGACUUUGUUUGGAUCUAAUUUUUGAUUUUCAAUUUGCCAUUGAUAGUGACUUAUUGAUGCUUUUAUCCUUUUUUAAAAUUUGAUGGAAUGACAAUACAGUUUAUUUAACGAGAGCAAAAAUUAUAACCUAGAAACUAUACAGUUUGUUUUCCUUUGACAACUUUCUAGGCUAGAAGUUAUCAACUAUUUUGAAUGGUUCAAACAAAUUAUUAGUUCUAUAUUUAUGCCGUUGUACCUAAUUUUUGUCUUUUUUCUAGGCAUUGUUUAAUAAUGGUUUUGGUCAAUCUAAGCAUGCUCCUAUGAUGAGUUGACUUUGUAUAUGAUCCUCAAAUAUCUAGAAUAUGUUGUUGAUAUUAUUAUACUGGAACUAAAUUAAUUAAUUUAUAUGUUUUGCCAUCAGCAAGCUGUUAGUGCAAUUAGCCAAAUAUCAUUUAGUGCUGACGAGGCAGUUUCUCCAAAGAAGCCUACUUCGAUUGCUGAGGUAGCAAAGCAGCGAGAGCUAAGUGGUACCACUGAGAGUGAGCUUGAUGCCAAAGUCAAGAAGCAGCUCUCUGAAGCAAAGAGCAAAGAGCUUAGUGGGCAUGACAUCUUUGGUCCUCCUCCUGAAGUUCCGGCCAGGCCUUUAGCUGCAAGGAAUUUGGAACUAAGGGGGAAUUUGGAUUUCGUCUUGCCACAGCCUCGAAGCAUACAUACAUCAGUGAAAGUAUCUAAUGUGAGUUAGUUCAUCAGUCAAAUGUGGAUUCCUGGUUUCUGAACAAUUUGUUGUUAACAUCACUGUGUUAUAUAUUUUAUGUUUUCUUAGACAUAAAUUAGUUUAACUUUCAGUAUGCAUUUGCUUCACAUCAAUUUAUUCUGUUGCAUAUUAGAGGAAAACAUUGUAAUUACUCCAUGCACUCAUCGAGGCAUUCUUAAGUGACAGCCACCACGGACAAGAGGCCAUUCAUUAUUCUUGUGAUAACCCAUACAAGAAAGCAACUCAAUUAACUCCCUCCAAUCUUAUAAUACCUAAAGGCCUUUUGCAUUUUAGGAAUUUUGCUUAUAGGUAGUUUAACAUAUCACUUCUCUGCAGUAUGUUCUAUAGACAAUCAUUUUCAAAUUGCUAGCUUUUUCUGCUGAGAUUUAUAGACAAUCAUUUUCAAACUCUUAGUGUUUAUUAUCAUUGUUGACCAUUGGCUGCUUCUAAGUUGAACAUUUAUAUUUGGAUUAUAAACCUCUUAUUGAUUGCAUAGCUAACACUUUUCAUCAGAAACUCUUGCUUGUAUGAUUUUUUGUUGGUCAAGUAAAUUCAGUCUUUUUUCGAAGAUGAGAAAUUGAUUUAAAAAAAAUGUUCCUUUGAGAUCAGGUUGUUCAGUUGAAACUCAUAAUGUUAAUGGACUGAGCUAUAUGAUGGCUCUUUUAUGUUUUAAUUGUUGCUUACAUGGAGAAUCUACUUGUAUAUGCUUUUACUUUUAUUUUAUUUUAUAGCUAUCUUUAUCUGUUAAAUCGAAGUUAAUUGUGCUCAGAGAGGAAUAAAGAAGGAAUGAUAAAUCAUAUGAUACUGAAUGGUUCAUAUUAUUUAUCAUUCGGGUCAUCCUUUCAAUGCAUAUCUGUUAGAUUGCAAGAGACCAUAUAAUUUAUAUAACCAUACAUUUCUCCUGGCAUUUCCUUCGCCAAUGGUUCAUGUCCAGCAUUUGGUUUAAUAUUUUUGUAUUCUUAACUUAAAGUGCAUUCUUAACUUGAUGGUCGACUUUGUAGUAAACUAUCAUUUUAUGUCUUCCCUUUAAUUGCUAAUCGUCUUCCACUUUUUGUUUGGUGUUCUAGCCGGCUGGAGGUCCUAGCAAUAUCAUGUUCAGUGAUGAUAGUGUCGCCAAGACUGCAAAGAAGAUCCACACUCAGAAGUUCCAAGAGCUGACCGGCAACGACAUAUUCAAAGAAGACGCACCCCCAGGGUCUGCCGAGAAGCCACUGAGUGUGGCAAAACUGAAGGAGAUGAGCGGCAGCGACAUCUUUGCAGAUGGGAAAGCGGCAUCGCGAGACUACUUCGGCGGAGUCCGUAAGCCUCCCGGUGGUGAGAGCAGCAUUGCAUUGGUUUAACUAUCCUGACCACGUUGUCUGUGUAUUAUUGCAGUUUGUCUUCCUAAUCAACUUCCGAAACAUGUUUCUGUGGACUAAUUAUGUGCUGCGUGUGCUUGAUGUAUCUUAGACUGUUUGGCUUUGACAUUGUUCAUUGAGAGUGACGAGAGAUGAUGGAACCUUUGUCCGAUGUUCUCUUUUUGUAGUAUUCCCGUUGACUAUACUGCCUUGCCUCCAAUUGUCAUCUUUCCUUGGUCAUACUUCACGGCAUCUGUGGGAGAAUAUGAAUGAAACUGCAGUUUUCUUGGCAGAUAGAAACCAAAAUACUGCCUUCGCCAUUGAGUAUUAAGAAAUUACAACGAAGGUCGUGGGCCCCGCAGGCGCUUAUCUGGAUGAUUGCAGCGGAGCCCGCAGUGGGUCCCCCAGGGACGUGGCCGGGUAAGCCGGUCAGCGAUAGACAUGACGCGGACGAGACGUACCAUCACUAUCGCCCCCAAUGAACGGUCCUGAUCUGAUCAAGCUCGGUGAUAACAGAAAACCCCAACGGUCGCCCAACCGCGGUCCUGUACCGUACACACCAUAAAAGGCUUCUCUUGAGAACAUUUACGACUCUCCCCGUUCUCCAUCUCACACGACGCAGAGCUCCAAGAACUCCUACUUCCCUUCCAAGAACUCGACCUCUCCAAGAGGAAGACGAGAUGGUGGGCUACACCGAUCCCUGCCCCCACUGCGGCUACAAACGCCGGCGGCCCUCCUUGGACCGCCUGUUCACCUGGCCCAUGGACCGCUCCUCCAUCCCCGCCCCAGCCGCCAAGCUCGCCCGCACCAACUCCGGCUGCAUUGACCACUGCUCCCUCACCGCCGCCAACGAUCAGGCCUCUGAUACCGCCGCAGUGAAGCCGCCGAACCCCUCUCCGCCGACCAUCUCUUUCGGCGCCGGCAGGGUGCCCGAACCGAAUGAGAGCGACGCCGGAACUCCGUCGCCCCGGCAGCAGAGUCCGUUCGCUCCGUCCAUCUCCAUCGUCCCACCGACGGCAUCCGGACCCCUGGCGCCUCCGGAGGCGACCGCGCCGGACCUUCCUCGAAGUCCGGCGUGGGAACUCAAUUCUAACAACAAGAAGAAGGAGGAGGAGGUUUGAGGGCUUUCGCACUUCUCUUGCCUUCUCCACUUUCUUUUCUUUGGUCGUCUUGUCCGACAUUCGAUCUCGAUCGUUGGUUGUGACGCAGCUUUCUUGGUUACCUCGAUCUAGUGUAUUCUUUUGUUGUAUCAACUGCAUGUCUACCAUGGCAGGAGGGAGAUGAAGAGCAGAAGACCGAGCAGAAGCUGGAGGAGGAAAAGAAGAGGAGCAAGACCCGAAUACGUGUCUCAGGUGUGACUGGUGUGAAGAUUAGCUUCAAGUGCAAGUGCGGCACCUGUCAAGAACUGGUGGUCUCUUGAGACCACCAUUCCAUUUCUUUCCACCAGUGACAGUGGUGUGGCAUCUGCCAAGACUCAUUGUGGCAGAGAAGUUAUCAGGAAGAGAGAUGGAGAGACCAGCUUAAAUUAAACUGGUAAGGCUCAGGAGGAACUGCGAAGAGCAUAAAGUUGAUUGACAAGUGACACACUACAUGUUCUACUUUCUUUUUCUUUACUCCCUAUCAAAUUCUUGACUGCUACUUCAACCAUAAGCAUUCUUCAGAACUCACUUGUUCUGGUAAAUCCUUUUUUUUACUGAUAUGUUAGUCUUUGUUUGUGCUUUUUUGUUUGAUAUAAGAAUCAAAUUAGGUUUAGUUUUGGUGAUGCAUUUUUAUAAUAUGUGGCUUAAAGAGUGACCAUUUUGACUAAUCACCAAUUUAGGUUUAUUUGGCUUCACACCAAUUGCAGACUUUGGAGCAAAGACUUGUAAGGCUAAGUUAACUUUAGCUUACUGGUCUAUAAUAAUACAAGUAAUGGAGGUUUACAUAUUACUUGACCAAGUCUUGAUCUUUGGUGAUUGACUACUGAUGUUGCUGUUGGUUGUGGCAGUACUUUAGUUAUUGUUGUUUUGGUCUUACAUAAUUAAAGAUAUCCAUGGUUUACAUAUGUCAAGAAUAUUGAAGUUUCGGGUUGAAAUAUUCAAUCAAUUAUCAAAUUGGAAGAUGUUAUUGUCAUGUUUGUUAUAAGUUGAAGUCCCUAAAAGCAAACUAGAUUUCCAUGAUUGAUGUUUCCUUGCCUAUGAGAUGAUCUCCUUAGUAUAACAACGAGAGUUGCAUUUAAAAACCUUAUACGAUUAGUAAAUCAUAUUCACACCAUCACAACACAGAGAGAGAUAGAGAGAGAGAGAGAGAGAGAGAGAGAGAGAGAGAGAGAGAGAGAGAGAAAACCUUAUCAUUUGAGCUACUUUUGUUUGAAUGGUUGCUCUCAAACAUAUAGAGAGAAGGCAAGGAAAAGGAAGAGGACUCAUUCUUGAGAUCUUUCAUGUACGAGAUAGCAAUGAUUGCUAGACUUGUACUCCUUCCAAUUGGAUCAUCAAUUGCAUCGAAUGGUAGAUUACAUAAAACAUAAUGUCUCUUUCUGAUGUUGCCAUUCUGCUACGGCCUCAUAUAAAACUUCGUUGUUACGGUGACCAACUUUGUCGAGUAUGGCAGGCACUAUCUUAUUGGUGACAUAACGAGUGACAUAGGAAGCUUGCUGUGUUAUCCAACACAUCUUUUCGGUCCUUAAACCUCUCAUUAUCAUCACUACUAACUUGUUCUCUCAUACUUUGACAUGAAAGCCCAGUGGUUGAAGUCUUACCUGCCUGAGAUGUCAUGCUUUCUACUUCAUUAAAUCUUGAAGAUUGUGGGAGAUAAAAGUAAUGGGAACAAUGUUGUCAACAUGAGUAGCAUGGUCUUAGUUCUACAAGCAUGCUUGUUGUGUGUAUGGAGUCAUGAUAAACAGUGUGGUUUCCCAUUAGCUCCUCAAGCCUUUUGUGAUAUGGGUAGAAAUGCACUGCAAUUUCAUAAAUAUUCAGAACCGGAGUUCAUGUCUGUAGAAACAAAGAUAGAAACCAUGUUUGUUUGUACGUCUUUACAAGUGCUCAUGAAUCUCUAUGAUGUAUCAAUUCGGAUCGGAAACAAGUAAUGCAUGCAUGGUAGGACUUGUAACACGAGAACUGAUGGAAAUAAUAGAAGAUAAAGAAGAAUUAUUGAAGAUGGUGCUCCUAUCAAGGACACCAAUCUUGGAUCGAUGCAAGAGCAGAUCGGUACUGUUGUUGCUGCGGCUGCGAUGGUGAUGGUUGCGGCUGUGAUGGCAGCGAUUGCGAUUACGACGGUGGCGGCUGCGAUUGCGACGGCGACGGCUGCGACUUCGACGGCGACAGCUGCAACUACGACAGCGACAGCUGUGAUUGUGACGGCUAUGGCUGCAACGACAAAGGAGAAAUCUACAAUAAUGUUACAGUGAUGCUACUACAGAAGAGGAGGAAGCUGCAGAAGAGGAAGUUGCAACAGAGGAAGAAGCUGUAGCAGAAGAGGUAGGAGGUAGCUACAACGAGGAAGAAAGGUGGGGAAGUGCUGGUGAGCGCAGCACUAGAAACGCCGCAGCGGAAGAGAACAGACGUUGGCGCUGAGUGGCAGUAGAGAAGGCAGUUGCUGUUCGCCGAGAAAGAAAGAUCUACUAAACCAUGGAGAAGGUUUGCGUUACUUUGGGUGCAUGGAGAAGGUUUGUGACCUCACGUUGCUCACGUUGAGAGGCGCGCGUUUCCCGUUUACGUUGUUGCAGGUUUGGUGAUAGCUUAACUACCCAUGCAAAGAUCUAUCACCAACUCUCCCGUCUGAACAUUGCUGCUUGUAGGAUUCCAAGAGCCAAUGAUGUCGUUGACUCCAUACCUGUCUGUCACAUGACACACACCAUGUAUUUUAUUCACGUAGGCCAUUGUAGCAGAUGUAUAGAUAGAUAGAUAGAUAGAUAGAUAGAUAGAUCACAAUCAGAUUUUUAUGUAGCUUAGGGUAUUCUUCUACUAAAUCCUAUCCAUUCUCAUAGGCUAUCUAUCUUUGGUGGUGUCAUUGGGCUUCACAAGUGUAUAAAUAGAGGCAAGCCAUGUUUUGGUGACAAGGUGGAGGAAUUCUUGGGAGUCAGGUACAGUUUCUUCCAGGAGUCCAAUGGGGAGAUCACCAUGCUGUGAUGAGAACGGGCUUAAGAAGGGUCCCUGGACACCUGAGGAAGACCACAUGCUGGUCCAGUACAUCCAGAAGCAUGGCCAUGGCAGCUGGAGAGCCCUCCCUAGACUUGCUGGUUGGUACUCUCUCUCUCUCUCUGUCCAGUGCUGUUCUUCUCUCUCAUUUCGUACUUACAGACAUGUCACAGCCUUCUCUCUCAUUUCUCUCAGGGCUUAAUAGAUGCGGGAAGAGCUGCAGGCUGAGAUGGACCAACUACUUGAGGCCAGAUAUCAAGAGAGGCAAAUUCGCUCCAGAAGAAGAGCAAGCCAUCCUCAACCUCCACUCCAUCCUAGGCAACAAGUGCUCGUCUACUUAUCUCUCGCACUAACUCCGAUGAUCGAUCUGAGUUUGAUCUAAUCGAGCGUGGUCGACCUUUUGUCCAUUUAGGUGGUCUGCGAUCGCGGCGCACCUCCCCGGGCGUACCGACAACGAGAUCAAGAACUUUUGGAACACCCACCUCAAGAAGAAGCUGAUCCAAAUGGGAUUCGACCCCGUGACUCACCGCCCGAGGACCGACUUCUUCGAUGCCCUCCCCCAGCUCUUCGCUCUCGCCCAGCUUGGCGAGCUCGUCGACGGCCAGCCACGGGACGACCUUGCCGCACUGCUCCAAGCGGAGGCACUCGACCAGGCUGCAAAGCUCCAGUUCCUGCAGUCCCUGCUGCAGUCGGCCUGCACCAUGCCAAAUACCUCAAACACCACCAUUUCCACCAACACCCUCCUUAGCACUCGGAUGACUUCAUCUUUUCCUUCCAUCCUCUCUCCCACACCUCCUCAAAAUAUCAUCGAUAGCCAUAACCAAAUUGACCAAUUGCCGUCCUCCUUCUUCGAGCCACCCACACCCAAUGAGACCACCCAAUACUCCCACUCAACUGGUUUCGGCGAAUCUCCUCUUCCUCCUCUCACCGAUAUCUCGGUUGCCAACCAGGGGAACGCUUGCAGCAGUAGUAGUAUCUCUAGCUGUGGUGGGACUGAGACUCUCUUCUUCUGGCCUGAUGUGUUGCUGGACGACCAAUUCAUGACUGAAUCUGCCGAAAUCUUUUAAGCAGAGGAUACCUUCGCCUAUAGAUUCUGCUUUCCGCAGUCAUGGGAAGUGUGGUUCUUGAUUGCAAAUAAGAUUUCAGGAAAUCUCUCUACUCACUCUCUACUCAGUUGAGGGAAAUCCUCUAUUGUGUUGAGAAAAAUCAUCCCUCGUAAUCUGUAUAAACAGUAGAGGGAUAUGUUAAUGCAUUCAAGCUACUUCACUUCCUCAAUAAUGCUUCUUCAAUAAAGCUUAUUCAAUAAUUCUUCUUAUCUUCUAAUAUUUCCAUCUUCUUAUCUUCAAUAAAGCUCUCUUCUUGCUGUCGCCUCAUCAUUGUAGUAGCAUCACUGCAACAUUGUUGCUUCUCCACCUCCGACGGCAAAAGAAAAAGCUUGAACAAUGACUCCCAAGAGUUCCUCCACCUUGUCACCAAAACAUGGCUUGCCUCUAUUUGUACACUUGUGAAGCCCAAUGACACCACUAAAGAUAGAUAGUCUAUGAGAAUGGAUAGGAUUUAGUAGAAGAAUACCCUAAGCUACAUAAAAAUCUGAUUGUGAUCUAUCUAUCUAUCUAUCUAUCUAUACAUAUGCUAAAUGGCCUACGUGAAUAAAAUACAUGGUGUCAGUGUCAUGUGACAGACAGGUAUGGAGUCAACGACAUCAUUGGCUCUUGGAAUCCUACAAGCAGCAAUGUUCAGACGGGAGAGUUGGUGAUAGAUCUUUGCAUGGGUAGUUAAGCUAUCACCAAACCUGCAACUCUCAACGUGAGGUCACAAACCUUCUCCAUGCACCCAAAGUAACGCAAACCUUCUCCAUGUAUUUUAUUCANNNNNNNNNNNNNNNNNNNNNNNNNNNNNNNNNNNNNNNNNNNNNNNNNNNNNNNNNNNNNNNNNNNNNNNNNNNNNNNNNNNNNNNNNNNNNNNNNNNNNNNNNNNNNNNNNNNNNNNNNNNNNNNNNNNNNNNNNNNNNNNNNNNNNNNNNNNNNNNNNNNNNNNNNNNNNNNNNNNNNNNNNNNNNNNNNNNNNNNNNNNNNNNNNNNNNNNNNNNNNNNNNNNNNNNNNNNNNNNNNNNNNNNNNNNNNNNNNNNNNNNNNNNNNNNNNNNNNNNNNNNNNNNNNNNNNNNNNNNNNNNNNNNNNNNNNNNNNNNNNNNNNNNNNNNNNNNNNNNNNNNNNNNNNNNNNNNNNNNNNNNNNNNNNNNNNNNNNNNNNNNNNNNNNNNNNNNNNNNNNNNNNNNNNNNNNNNNNNNNNNNNNNNNNNNNNNNNNNNNNNNNNNNNNNNNNNNNNNNNNNNNNNNNNNNNNNNNNNNNNNNNNNNNNNNNNNNNNNNNNNNNNNNNNNNNNNNNNNNNNNNNNNNNNNNNNNNNNNNNNNNNNNNNNNNNNNNNNNNNNNNNNNNNNNNNNNNNNNNNNNNNNNNNNNNNNNNNNNNNNNNNNNNNNNNNNNNNNNNNNNNNNNNNNNNNNNNNNNNNNNNNNNNNNNNNNNNNNNNNNNNNNNNNNNNNNNNNNNNNNNNNNNNNNNNNNNNNNNNNNNNNNNNNNNNNNNNNNNNNNNNNNNNNNNNNNNNNNNNNNNNNNNNNNNNNNNNNNNNNNNNNNNNNNNNNNNNNNNNNNNNNNNNNNNNNNNNNNNNNNNNNNNNNNNNNNNNNNNNNNNNNNNNNNNNNNNNNNNNNNNNNNNNNNNNNNNNNNNNNNNNNNNNNNNNNNNNNNNNNNNNNNNNNNNNNNNNNNNNNNNNNNNNNNNNNNNNNNNNNNNNNNNNNNNNNNNNNNNNNNNNNNNNNNNNNNNNNNNNNNNNNNNNNNNNNNNNNNNNNNNNNNNNNNNNNNNNNNNNNNNNNNNNNNNNNNNNNNNNNNNNNNNNNNNNNNNNNNNNNNNNNNNNNNNNNNNNNNNNNNNNNNNNNNNNNNNNNNNNNNNNNNNNNNNNNNNNNNNNNNNNNNNNNNNNNNNNNNNNNNNNNNNNNNNNNNNNNNNNNNNNNNNNNNNNNNNNNNNNNNNNNNNNNNNNNNNNNNNNNNNNNNNNNNNNNNNNNNNNNNNNNNNNNNNNNNNNNNNNNNNNNNNNNNNNNNNNNNNNNNNNNNNNNNNNNNNNNNNNNNNNNNNNNNNNNNNNNNNNNNNNNNNNNNNNNNNNNNNNNNNNNNNNNNNNNNNNNNNNNNNNNNNNNNNNNNNNNNNNNNNNNNNNNNNNNNNNNNNNNNNNNNNNNNNNNNNNNNNNNNNNNNNNNNNNNNNNNNNNNNNNNNNNNNNNNNNNNNNNNNNNNNNNNNNNNNNNNNNNNNNNNNNNNNNNNNNNNNNNNNNNNNNNNNNNNNNNNNNNNNNNNNNNNNNNNNNNNNNNNNNNNNNNNNNNNNNNNNNNNNNNNNNNNNNNNNNNNNNNNNNNNNNNNNNNNNNNNNNNNNNNNNNNNNNNNNNNNNNNNNNNNNNNNNNNNNNNNNNNNNNNNNNNNNNNNNNNNNNNNNNNNNNNNNNNNNNNNNNNNNNNNNNNNNNNNNNNNNNNNNNNNNNNNNNNNNNNNNNNNNNNNNNNNNNNNNNNNNNNNNNNNNNNNNNNNNNNNNNNNNNNNNNNNNNNNNNNNNNNNNNNNNNNNNNNNNNNNNNNNNNNNNNNNNNNNNNNNNNNNNNNNNNNNNNNNNNNNNNNNNNNNNNNNNNNNNNNNNNNNNNNNNNNNNNNNNNNNNNNNNNNNNNNNNNNNNNNNNNNNNNNNNNNNNNNNNNNNNNNNNNNNNNNNNNNNNNNNNNNNNNNNNNNNNNNNNNNNNNNNNNNNNNNNNNNNNNNNNNNNNNNNNNNNNNNNNNNNNNNNNNNNNNNNNNNNNNNNNNNNNNNNNNNNNNNNNNNNNNNNNNNNNNNNNNNNNNNNNNNNNNNNNNNNNNNNNNNNNNNNNNNNNNNNNNNNNNNNNNNNNNNNNNNNNNNNNNNNNNNNNNNNNNNNNNNNNNNNNNNNNNNNNNNNNNNNNNNNNNNNNNNNNNNNNNNNNNNNNNNNNNNNNNNNNNNNNNNNNNNNNNNNNNNNNNNNNNNNNNNNNNNNNNNNNNNNNNNNNNNNNNNNNNNNNNNNNNNNNNNNNNNNNNNNNNNNNNNNNNNNNNNNNNNNNNNNNNNNNNNNNNNNNNNNNNNNNNNNNNNNNNNNNNNNNNNNNNNNNNNNNNNNNNNNNNNNNNNNNNNNNNNNNNNNNNNNNNNNNNNNNNNNNNNNNNNNNNNNNNNNNNNNNNNAUAUAUGGGAGAAAAAGUAGUUAGUUCAUCUGUCUGCAAGUCUGUCUAAAACUAAGGCUUUGUUUGUUUGAACAGAGAAAGAAAGAUCUACUAAACCAUGAAGAAGAAAAGUCACAGAAUGGUGGUGGCAGCUUCACUGAUUUGAGUGAAUGCAAGAUGACAGGAGAAGGGAAACAAAGGUCAUUUUCUCCUUUACUUGCAUCAUUUGGUGUCGGCAACAAGUCAUCAAGCUAGCUAGGGUUUGCAGUGUGUCUUGUGCAUGCCAUGAAGGUUGCUUCCUGAAGAAGCUUCUUUUGUCUGAUGCUGCCACUGUUACAGAAAAACAUAAAGGAAAAUAAGAUGAUAGUGGAAAUAUUCAUCUAAUUGAUCUCAACAAAAAAAAUGACUGGUUUUUUUUUUUUAAUGUAGAUAUGAACAACAUGAUCGAGUAUCAAAAGAAUUUAGUCCGAAAUACUAAACAAAAGUAUAUCAUUUUUUUUUAUUUUUCAAGAAGUGUAUUUCUUAUUCGGAUCUUCGUUGAUAAUAGUAUUAUCGGAGUAGAUACACGACUCGCUUUAAAUACGAGAAGUAACCAAUUAUGAUACUAGCAAUAGUGCCCCCACAAAAUAUAAUGCUGCUUUCAUCAAAUCUUUACAGUUUCAAACAAAGAAACAGGCUGACCUUUAGUAACUUAGUGGUUGAGACUCUGCCUAUUAGAGCCAAGUUAUCAAAUGGUUGACCUAUUAAUUAUGACAUAAACAUUGGGGUUUCAACACUUGCUCUAAAUUCUCUUGACUUUUAACAAAGAAGCAGACCUCUUAAUAGUUCAAGACACAAUUCCCAAGACAUAAAUAGGAAAAGAAAAGAAAAACACUGCAAUCUCAGAUGACACAUCAAGAAAGUUUUCCUAAAUUAAUGUUAUUAGAUUGUUUGGGGAAGGAGGAUAAUCUAUGACAUAAGAACCACACACAAUUAGGAAUAAAGAACCCUUUCCCUUCUCUCAGGUUUCCCAACUGAUAUGCCCAACUCUCUGGGAAUUCCUAUCUGCUAUGCUUGAUUAUGAAGUUGGUGUCAUGUCUAGAGAGGAGCAUUUGCAAGAUCUGCAAGCUACCUAACCUCUUUAUUUUUAUUAUAUCAAGCAGUAGUGCUUCUUUCUUUAGUGCCCAACUUAUGGCUUUGUUUCCUUUGAAAUCAAAGAAAAGAAACCAUUUUUAAUAUCGCACACACAUGUUUAGCAUGUUAAUAAGUUUUGCCAUCUCAUGCCAACUAAGAUUGACAAUUCGAACUGUUGAAUAGAUCGGUUAGAUUAAAUCUAAUUUGUGUGACUAAGAAAUCAGACCGAUCUAACCAUUCUCACAAUUGGUCUAGAAAGUCAAUUAAUAUAUUAAUAUACAAUUGGGUCGUAGUCAAUCAUCAUCAUCCAGCAUCUAAUAAUAAUUAUUAUUAAUUAUAUAUAUUUGGAUGAUACUACUUUGAAUGAAUGAUAGGGGUUUGAGUCGGAAUCAAUUAAUUUCACAUGUCCUCGGCAAAUCAUUCAACGUACUGUUGGAAUUAUGGCUAAUGGGCCUUCUUACUUGAUUGCCUAAUGGGCCUUCUUUUAGGCCCGAUAUAAUAAUUUCACUAAGUCGAUCUCAUCUCUUGGAGAGCCGCAAAAGCUAUAGAAUCCGUCGGGGGCAUGCCACCGGAGGACAAACUGACGACCUCUACACUGGAACUCCCGGAAGUCGACUCGUUGACCUCGGGAGGGGACCGACUUGAGAAAGAUGAAGAAGACCAAGACAUCCCGACCUCGAAGUCGAUGACCGAAAGGGAUAGUCCGAGGUGUAAAACAGGAAUGCAGAGGCUGAGUGAUACCCCACCAUCACAUAGAAAGGGGUUUAUAAGGAGGAAGCCCAUCGCGACAAGGUGACGUUUGGCCUCCCCUAGGUAAGAAAUAGUGGCGGCAUUUAAUGAUAGCAUAUCCUACUAGAUUUGCCAAUCUCCAUCGCCCGAAAACUCCUGCCAAAACCCAUGAUGCAUCGUCAAUGGUUUCCCACCAAAAGCUACGAUGCGUCGUCUAUGGUUUCCUACCCAAUUUCAACCCUCGUCACCCGAAAGGGGCACCUCGGUUAAAUUUAGCGUCUCGACGAAUCAGUUCAACCUAUGCCCAAGUUGGGUACUUCGGUCAGUAGGUCUAGUCCUUGCCCGAGUCAUGCAUCUCGGCCAAUCAUCGCUUGAGCAACAUCUCGAUGAACCAGUCUAGCUUGUGCCCGAGUUGGGUACCUCGGUCAGCAGGUCCAGUCCUUACUCGAGUAGUGCAUCUCGGCUAUCAUCGCUCGAGUAGCAUCUCAACAAACCAGUCCAACCUAUGCCCAAGUUGGGUAACUCGGUCAGUAAGUCUAGUCCCUGCCCGAGUUGUGCAUCUCGGCCAAUCAUCACUCGAGCAGCGUCUCAAUGAACCAGUUCAACCCGUGCCCGAGUUGGGUACGUAAGUCAGCAGGUCUAGUCCUUGCCUGAGUUGUGCAUCUCAGCCAAUCAUCGCUUGAGCAGCGGCUCGACAAACCAGUCCAGCUUGUGCCCGAGUUGGGUACCUUGGUCAACAAGUCCAAUCCCUACCCGAGUUGUGUACCUCGGCCAAUCAUCACCCAAGCAGCAUUUCGGCGAACCUCCUCACCAAUCUCAAUGUAAUGAAUGACCCAAUCGACAGAAGGGACCAAGCCAUGCCCCGAGCUCACACCCCCCCCCCCCAACCCCCAUGAGGACCUCGAAGCAUGGUAGAGAAUGAUAGGACAUAUUUUGGCAUCGAGACUGAGAUUAGCUACCAUGAUAGCACAAAUAUGAAGCUUCGAGACUGAGAUAGAGCAUCGUGUCGGAUGCCCCACCUUAGAUUCGGGAGAACAAUAACCCCUUCCCGUGCCAUCUGAAAUUAUAUGAGGCAAUCACUCCGAAAAGCCAGGAACAACGCCACCUUCCCCUGUCAUCCAAAGUUGUACAAGGCAACACUGUGUGGAAUGGAGCCGCUCUGGGAAGCUCGGAGCAGUGCUUCGCGGUGCCAUUCCACACAGGGUAACCGGCGCUCGCACACUAGUACAAGCCGACCGCCCAAAGAGUUGGUUGCCAUCAUCAAAUCAAGUACGAUCGACCCUCGCUUAAUGGUAUAAAGUCUACUGAUCCUCAUCAAGUAGAGGAGGAUAGAUUCUAAGAACUCCAUUCAACACUAACUUAAACUUCGAAUGAUAGAGUCGGAAAAUCUCCCUCCUGCCCUUGACUUAUAUGUAAGAACUCGACAACGAAACAGCAGCAACCCGACCCGACGUCGAAGUGACCCGAGCAUCCGUGUGGACAAUUCUGACACCUCGAUCACGACGUAAUGGUUCACUGACAAAUAAUAUUCUCAGUGCAUUGCAUGGAGAGAUCAGCUGUGAUCAUUUCUGAUGUGCAUCAUUAGGUAAGAUGUUACCGUAUAUGAAGAGAGGGAAAGGUCAACAAGGAUGCAUAUGCAUGCAUCUUGCAUCCCUUUCAUUCAACACCCGACAUUGAAUGGCAAACACUGUUCACUUUGGCCAAUCUUCUGCUGCAUGCACUGAGAAUGAUUUAGUGAGGGUGUCUUCAGGAUUUGUAACUCUGCACCUACGAUUCUACGUUAAAUCAAAUUCAUCCCACAUGGAAACCACCAUCAGAUCAUUCUCCCUAUUACAAGCCCUUCAAUUGACCUUCUUGGUAACCCAAGAACAAGCCUGGACCUUUCCUUGGUUCUACUUCGGCUCCGUAACUAUCUUUUUUCCUCUCCUAUCGCUUGACUAAGAUCGAUCUAAUGUGUACUGUUUCCAUGUCUGGGACAGGAGGAGGAAGGAAGAUGAAGCGACACCUAACAGUGGAAGUUGGCCUCCAGAACGAAGAAGGAGAUGGUGGGUUGCAGAAGCUCACGAUGCCUGUAACUUAUAUUAAUCAUCCAUACUUUGCUGGUCUUCUCGACAGGGCCAAGAAGGUCUACGGCUACCGCUCCGGUGCCCCAGUUCCACUGAAGCUUCCUUGCACGGUGGAGGAGUUCAUCCAUGUCAAGUCGCUCGUCGAGCGCGAGUCCAGUGGCAGUCAGUAGUCCUUCUCCUUGUCUCCUUGCCUUGGACAUAAAAAUGGGCAUAUGUUAGCUGGAAUCAUCAUUUCCAUAGCUCAGAUGCAGUCAUGAGGUCUGCCAGUAUGUGUGAGCUGGAUGCAUCAGUUCUGCUACAUCUGUGAUCUCCCCAUUGGACUCCUGGAAGAAACUGUACCUGACUCCCAAGAAUUCCUCCACCUUGUCACCAAAACAUGGCUUGCCUCUAUUUAUACAAUUGUGAAGCCCAAUGACACCACCAAAGAUAGAUAGUCUAUGAGAAUGGAUAGGAUUUAGUAGAAGAAUACCCUAAGCUACAUAAAAAUCUGAUUGUGAUCUAUCUAUCUAUCUAUCUAUCUAUCUAUCUAUCUAUACAUCUGCUACAAUGGCCUACGUGAAUAAAACACAUGGUGUGUGCCAUGUGACAGACAGGUAUGGAGUCAACGACAUCAUUGGCUCUUGGAAUCCUACAAGCAGCAAUGUUCAGACGGGAGCGUUGGUGGUAGAUCUUUGCAUGGGUAGUUAAGCUAUCACCAAACCUGCAACAAUGUAAACGGGAAACGCGCGCCUCUCAACGUGAGGUCACAAACCUUCUCCAUGCACCCAAAGUAACGCAAACCUUCUCCAUGUAUUUUAUUCAUANNNNNNNNNNNNNNNNNNNNCUAGAUAGAUAGAUAUAUGGGAGAAAAAGUAGUUAGUUCAUCUGUCUGCAAGUCUGUCUAAAACUAAGGCUUUGUUUGUUUGAACAGAGAAAGAAAGAUCUACUAAACCAUGGAGAAGGUUUGCGUUACUUUGGGUUCAUGGAGAAGGUUUGUGACCUCACGUUGAGAGGCGCGCGUUUCCCGUUUACAUUGUUGCAGGUUUGGUGAAACAUUGGGGUUUCAACACUUGCUCUAAAUUCUCUUGACUUUUCUGAUCACAAGAUCGAGAAGGAAACAAAGAAGCAGACCUCUUAAUAGUUCAAGAUACAAUUGCCAAGAUAUAAAUAGGAAAAGAAAAGAAAACACUGCAAUCUCAGAUGACACAUCAAGAAAGUUUUCCUAAAUUAAUGUUACUAGAUUGUUUGGGGAAGGAGGAUAAUCUAUGACAUAAGAACCACACACAAUUAGGAAUAAAGAACCUUUUCCCUUCUCUCAGGUUUCCCAACUGAUAUGCCCAACUCUCUGGGAAUUCCUAUCUGCUAUGCUUGAUUAUGAAGUUGAUGUCAUGUCUAGAGAGGAGCAUUUGCAUGACCUGCAAGCUACCUAACCUUUUUAUUUUUAUUAUAUCAAGCAGUAGUGCUUCUUUCUUUAGUGCCCAACUCCUGGCUUUUGUUUCCUUUGAAAUUAAAGAAAAAGAAAACCAUUUUUAAUAGUACGCACACAUGUUUUGCAUGUUCAUAAGUUUUGCCAUCUCAUGCCAACUAAGAUUGACAAUUAGAACUGUUGAAUAGAUCGGUUAGACUAAAUCUAAUUUGUGUGACUAAGAAAUCAGACCGAUCUAAUCAUUCUCACAAUCGGUCUAGAAAGUCAAUUAAUAUAUUAUUAUACAAUUGGGUCGUAGUCAAUCCUCAUCAUCCAGCAUCUAAUAAUAAUUAUUAUUUGUUUUAUAUAUUUGGAUGAUAUUACUUUGAAUGAAUGAUUGGGGUUUGAGUCGGUAUCAAUUCAUUUCACAUGUCCUCGGCAAAUCAUUCAACGUACUGAUGGAAUUAUGGCUGGGCCGUCUUACUUGAUGGCCUAAUGGGCCUUCUUUUAGGCUUGAUAUUACCAUUUCACUAAGUCAUGCUACGACCUCGAGAGUCGCAAAAACCUUCGAAUCCAUCGGGGCAUGCCACGUGAGGACGAACUGACGACUUCUACCCUAGAACUCUCGGAGGUCGACUCGUUGACCUCAAGAGGGGACCGGUUUGAGGAAGAUGAAGAAGACCAAGACAUCACGACCUUAAGUUCGAUGACCAAAAGGGAUAGUCCGAGGUGUAAAACAGGAAUGCAGAGGCUGAGUGAUACCCCAUCGUCACAUAGAAAGGGGUUUAUAAGGAGGAAGCCCAUCACCACAAGGUGACGUUUGGCCUCCCCUAGGUAAGAAAUAGUGGCGGCAUUUAAUGAUAGCAUAUCCUACUAUAUUUGCCAACCUCUAUCGCCCGAAAACUCUCGCCAAAACCCAUGAUGCAUCGUCAAAGGUUUCCCACCAAAGGCUACGAUGCGUCAUCUUUGGUUAAAUUAGCGAGCAGCAUCUCGAUGAACUAGUCUAGCUUGUGCCCAAGUUGGGUACCUCGGUUAGCAGAUCCAGUCCUUACUUGAGUCGUGCAUCUCGGCCAUCAUCGCUCAAGCAGCAUCUCAACGAACCAAUUCAGCCUAUGCCCAAGUUGGGUAACUUGGUCAGUAAGUCUAGUCCCUGCCCGAGUUGUGCAUCUCGGCCAAUCAUCGCUCGAGCAGCGUCUCAAUAAACCAGUUCAACCUAUGCCCAAGUUGGGUACAUAGGUCAGUAGGACCAGUCCUUUCCCGAGUCGUGCAUCUCGGCCAAUCAUUGCUUGAGCAACGGCUCGACAAACCAGUCCAACCUGUGCCCAAGUUGGGUACCUUGGUCAACAAGUCCAAUCCCUACCUGAGUUGUGUACCUCGGCCAAUCAUCACUCAAGCAGCAUUUCGACGAACCUCCUCCCCAAUCUCAACGCAAUGAAUGACCCAAUUGACAGAAGGGACCGGGGUAGAGAGAAUGAUAGGAUAUAUUCUGGCAUCAUCACAUGGACGCGGUUAGCUACCAUGAUAGCACAAAUAUGAAGCUUCGAGACUGAGAUAGAGCAUCGUGUCAGAUGCCCCACCUUAGAUUCAGGAGAACAGCGACCCCUUCUCGCGCCAUCUGAAAUUAUACAAGGCAAUCACUCCGAAAAGCCAGGAGUGAUGCCGCCUUCCCCUGUCAUCCGAAGUUGUACAAGGCAACACUAUGUGGAAUGGAGCUGCUCUGGGAAGCUUGGAGCAGCGCUUUGCGGUGCCAUUCCGUACAGGGUAACCGGUGCUCGCGCACUGGUACAAGUCGACCGCCUAAAGAGCUGGUCGCCAUCAUCCGAUCAAGUACGGUCAACCCCCGCUUGAUGGUAUAAAGUCUACUAAUCCUCAUCAAGUAAAAAACGAUAGAUUCUAAGAACUCCAUUCAACACUAACUUAAACUUCGGAUGGUCGAGUCGGAAAAUCUCCCUCUCGCCCUUGACCUAUAUGUAGGAACUCGACAACGAAACAACAGUAACCCGACCCGACGUCGAAGUGACCUGAGCAUCCGUGUGGACAUUUCUGACAUCUCGAUCAUGACGUAAACGUUCACCAACAAAUAAUAUUUUCAGUGUAUUGCAUGGAGAGAUCAGCUGUGAUCAUUUCUGAUGUGCUUCAUUAGGUAAGAUGUUACCCUAUAUGAAGAGAGGGAAAGGUCAACAAGGAUGCAUAUGCAUGCAUCUUGCAUCCCUUUCGUUCAACACCCGACAUUGAAUGGCAAACACUGUUCACUUUGGCCAAUCUUCUGCUGCAUGCACUGAGAAUGAUUUAGUGAGGGUGUCUUCAGGAUUUGUAACUCUGCACCUACGAUUCUACGUUAAAUCAAAUUCAUCCCACAUGGAAACCACCAUCAGAUCAUUCUCCCUAUUACAAGCCCUUCAAUUGACCUUCUUGGGAACCCAAGAACAAGCCUGGACCUUUCCUUGGUUCUACUUCGGCUCCGGAACUAUCUUUUUUCCUCUCCUAUCGCUUGACUAAGAUCGAUCUAAUGUGUACUGUUUCCAUGUCUGGGACAGGAGGAGGAACGAAGAUGAAGGGACACCUAACAGUGGAAGUUGGCCUCCAGAACGAAGAAGGAGAUGGUGGGUUGCAGAAGCUCACGAUGCCUGUAACUUAUAUUAAUCAUCCAUACUUUGCUGGUCUUCUCGACAGGGCCAAGAAGGUCUACGGCUACCGCUCCGGUGCCCCAGUUCCACUGAAGCUUCCUUGCACGGUGGAGGAGUUCAUCCAUUUCAAGUCGCUCGUCGAGCGCGAGUCCAGUGGCAGUCAGUAGUCCUUCUCCUUGUCUCCUUGCCUUGGACAUAAAAAUGGGCAUAUGUUAGCUGGAAUCAUCAUUUCCAUAGCUCAGAUGCAUCCAUGAGGUCUGCCAGUAUGUGUGAGCUGGAUGCAUCAGUUCUGCUACAGAUGCCAAACACGCAUGAGAACUGUAAGAAAGAGCAGUACUCGAUCAGAUAUCAGAAAGGCUGUGUUAUAUUUCAAAUAGAUGCAGUAAUCUUCCUGUACUUUGUUGAUCUCUUCAAGUUUGUCUUCGAUGCUUGUUUAAGAACAGAGAAGAUCAGUCCCUCAAAAUCAAUGACAGGGAGGCUAUGAAAUAUUUGGUUAGUCCAGAAGAUUUUAGUAGGCCAGUUGAAGUGUAGAAGGCCAUCGAUGACAAGUAUUGGCCAUGAAACAAAGACAAAUGAUUUGCGACCUUGUCAAAAGCUUGAUGUGGGGAGUGGAAGUCUCUCUCACAGCCAGCUUGGUUUAGGCUUUAAUGAAACUUGACUGAUGCAAAACCUAAAUUAAUAUUUAGGUUUGGUUUAGGCGUGACGUAUCAACAAACCCGAGUGUUAGCGAACCCUUAACACUGUGGCCGAGGGGUCGUCACGGUUUAGUCGGGCUCCGAAUGCGUAAGGUUUCCUGAGCAUAUAAUGUGGUGGAAGCGAAUGUCGGGUCGGGUUAAGCUGGAGACUCACCUUCCGAGUGUGAUCUUUUCUCUUGAUGAGAGGUUUGCUGCAUACUCACCAGAUUCCUGCACACAGGUUGUGUUCGGGAGAGAGAUUUCUCGACCCAACCUCUACGAAGCUUAAAUUAGUGUUGGUGUUGAUCCCCCUUCCUGGUGUUGGCUAGGUGGUGGAUUUUUGCACACGGGGUCGGUUAUACUUGGUUCAUUAAUGACCACUGACCCUUAAGCGGCCAUCCCAUAUUUUUCGUGCGGACAUCGGUCGACCUGCACGAAUCGGUGCUGAGUGGCAUCAUCUUGAGCUUUCCGGGGCGGCUUCAUACCAGAUGGUACCGUUCUGAGCUUUCUGGGCCAGCUUCGUAUCAGAUGGUACUGUUCCAAGCUUUCUGAGGCAGUUUCGUAUCAAAUGGCAUUGUCCCGAGCUUUACGAAGCAACACCGUACCAUGCGACGUACCUUGCGUGACCUUGUAUAAGGUGGGAGGAUAGCUUGUUAAUAACCGCAGACCCCUUAAAUGACCGAGCCAUAUCUUCCAUGCGGACGCCAAUCGACCUGAAUGAAUCGGUGUCGAGCGACGCCAUUCCAAGCUUUUCGAGGCAGCUUCAUACUAGAUGACACCGUCCCAAACUUUCCAGAAACAACUCCGUACCGUGCAACAUACCUUACACGGCCUUUAUACAACACGAGAUGGUGGUCAUGUCAUCUAAAUCCGAGUCGCAUCGACGUGGUUCGCCACAUCGACUUUGAAGCUCUAUGUCGGUAAUAGUUUAGAGUUUGUAUUUUUAUUUUCAUAAUUAUAUUUGAAAUAAAUAUUAAUAUAUAAUAUUUUUAAAUAAACAUAAAAUAUAAAUAUUAUAAAGAAUUAAAUGAAUAAAAGUAAAAUAAUAUUAGAUUAAUCCAUAAUAAAGAAACUCAAAUAGACAAGAUCUUUUGAGUCAUAGAUUUUAUUUUAACUCCAAACGAUCUGAUUAGUGAACUAAACCGGUUGGAAUUUUAGUUCGUGAUUUCUGUGAUCAGACCAAUCGAUCCGUUCAAGUUUCAUAACAAUAGUCUAAAUAAACCUAUACAUAUGAUUUAGAUGCCAUGUAGAUUAUAGAAUAUGUGAUUUGUGUGAUGAUAUUAUACAUUUGAACUUAGUUUGAUGUAUUAUUUCAACUCAUGUUUACUUUUUAUUGGUUUGAGUAUGGAUUGUGAAUGGAUAUCUAAUUACUAAUUCUAUUUCUUUUUGUAUUGGAUGGUUUCAUGAGUUAUUAUUUUUUUACAAAUCCCAUUACAAAAUCGAGUCGACGCGUGCGUUGGAGUUCGAACACCGUCGCCCUUCAAACAUAUCCCGUUGUGCCUCGUCGUCCUCCUCCUCCUCCUCCUCCUCCUCUUUCCUCCCCCCUCUCGUUCCACUUUCUAGGGCUUUCCCUGGGGGAAAUCGUUUGAUUUAAUCCGCAUCUCCCCCUCGAUUCUGUCGCGGAAUCUCCUACUCCUGCUCCAGUGACAUGAUGCGAUAUUGCGACCUUUCAUGAAGCAGCAGCAGGUUCUUGGAUCGAUCCCGCGCGCCGCUGCCGGUAACUCUCGUCUCCAUGGCGCCGCCGCAGAGGAUCUCGAUCGUCCGCGACGAGGAGACCGCCGCCGACGACACGCCAACGGCCAAGAAGACGCUCAGGGCCGAGUCCAGAGUCCCGCUCACCAGGUGGGAGGCGGCUGCCGCGGCCGCUGUGUUCUUGAUCUUCGCCGUUGGACUGUUCUGUAUCUUGUUCACCAUGCCCGAGGCCGAGUACGAUAAGAUCCUCAGGGUGCCGCGCAACCUCUCCGACCUCCGCGUCCUCAAGUGAGGUCCUUUCUUUCUUUUGCUUUACUUCCAUGGUGGAUCUGCUUGAAAUUGGCUUUCUUCUUGCAGAAAAGCAUAAAUUGAUACCUUUUCUUUUGUGAAAUUCGCGUCCUGAGAUAUUAUUUAUCUUACGGUUGUGCUUCCCUAAUUCAGUACUUUUAGAUUUGUGUGAUCUUUUCGUCUAGUAGUUAGUCAGAUGCAUCCAGAUAGGUCACACACCGAUAUACAUUUGAACAUUUCGAUCAGCAUAAUGCCGAUUAACAAUCACUGCAAAAGUAUGAUAUAGGUUUUCAAAUGUAACGUUUAGAACCUUGGGGCUGUUUAGAUGUGCUGAUGCUACUAAAAUUUGAUUGUCAUCAAAUAAGAAAACCACAAAUGUAUAUAUAUGAUACUUCACAUCUAGAACACCUCCACUCCAGGUAGUGGAGAACACCCUAUUUAUAUUAUUUGCCUUUGGGCAUGUAUUGUAUUGAUUUUCCUUUUCUAAAAGGCAGCUUUUGAAAAGCUUCUUUUGGAAUUGAUUUGUGGAAGUACUAGCAUAAUAUGCUUUGUCAUAAACAGUUUGUUUCUAAAAUUGCUUUUUGGCCAAAUGUUUUUGUGAAGCAAAGUCUUGACAAGCAAUGGCAUCAUUGGAGGAGAUGGUGGUGGUGGCAACAAUAGCAAUCAUCGUAGUAAUGCUUUGUAAUGGUGCAAAUGUUGUUAAUAGUGUUGGUGGCCAAUGGAAGUGGUGACAAUGGUGGUGGGGGUAGGGCGGUGGUUGUAAUUGAUGGUGGUAGUGGUGGUGAUUACAAUAGCGAUGCAUGUUGAGGUCGAGAGUAAUUGUGUCAGAAUUCCUUUUAGAAGAAGUCAGAAACAGGUCAUGACCUUUUCUUAAACAAUUUUUUUAGUUUAUCUUUUUUUAAAAAAAAUCCUUUCAUAAAAUGUGAGCAAAUUCCCAAAUUUUACAAUAGCAACUUCUUAGUUUUAGAAAAUAAAUCUGCCAAAAUUUUAGAAAAGCAACUUCUUUGUAGGAAAAUGUGUAGGAAAAUAAAUCUGCCAAAAUGUGUUCAAUCGUUUGUAAUACAUGUUUGUAGGAAAAUUCUUUCGAUCUUUCUUGUGUGGUGAUUAUGUUUCUUGUAAAAGCAUGUGAAGCAGCCAUGAUUGAGUUAUGGAUGUGGUGUUGACAAUAAAAUAGUCAAUUGUCUUUCCAUUAGGAGGGACUUCUAACUCUGAAGGCUCAAACUAAAUUAAUAAUGAACGGUACCCUUACUUCACAAUAUGUAAUACUAUGUAGAUUGGGAUAUCAGAGCAUUGAGCUAGUAAUCAGUUUAGAGGAUUUUUUUUUUUUGAAUGAAUGAAUGGGGUUUGUAUUGAUAUGACACUAUAUAUUUUGCUCUCUCUUUUAAUAAGUGAUACAAUAUAUUUCAAUUUAAGAUUGGUAUUGUAGAGGUUUGGUUUAGAAGCACAUUUGGUCCAUUUAUCGUGGUAUAAAAGAUAUCUCUUAUAGAUUUCAUUGGAUGGUCAUAUUUUGGGGCUAGGGAAUGUUUUGGAGGAUGUUUAGCUGGUGACUUUGAAUUAUAAGUUGUUUAUUUGCCAGAGCCAUUGUAUGAUUUUUUUUUUUUUGAACUUUGAAGAUUCUCAUUUUUGUUCAGAAACAUAGUCCACUGAAGAAUUAGGAUGUUCUUUCGUAAGCUGAAGUUUUAUUUUGUUAGCUUCAUAUGAUUCAUGGUUUUUUUUUUUGCAUAUCUAUCACUGAUGGCUGGAGCCAGUUGAUUUGUUGUUAUGUUAUCGUGCUUGGUGGUUCAUUUUAAGAAGCAGCCAUGAACACCCCUCAAUAUCUGUACUCUGUACAACCUUUUUCAUUCUCUGUAGUCUGUACAACCUUUUUCAUUCUCCAACUGUAGUUCCAUUGUACUAUUCAUUCAGACUGAUGAACUUGUGGUACUAUUAUGUGAAUAACUGUGGGAAACCUUUUUUUAAAUGAACUCUUUGGAUUUUCUAUUCCAGAUUUACCAGUACGGGCAUCCUAUUCCAAGUUAAGCAGAAAUUCGUUUCGGAUUUACUUGAAAUCUUCUGUCGAUGUGGUUCUUUAUAUUCACUAAGAAAUAGUGGCCAUAUCUUUGUUGUAAUAAUAUAAUGCUGGAUCAUAUUUGCAUAGGAUUUAACUCAUAGUAGUAUUCAAGUAUAAGUAAAAUAAUUGGAAAGGGCAUGUUGAAGGGCAUUUUUGUCCGUGGCCAUAACUAUGUUAUAAUAACUUAAUGUUGCAUCAUAUUUGCAUAGGAAUUAGAUCAUAGUAGUUUUCAAGGAAUUAGAUCAUAGUCAUAUUCAAGUAUAAGCAAAUUGUGGCCAUAACUUUGUUGUAAUAACUUAGUGUUGCAUCGUAUUUUGCAUAGGAAUUAUAUAGUAGUAGUAUUCAAGUAUAAGCAAAAUAAUUGGAAAGGGCAUGUUGAAGGGCAUUUUUGUUCAUGGCUAGUCUAAGAUAAUUAUCUGGUGGUGUAUGAUAAACAAGGUAUCUUUGUGUUGAUUUUGUCAAAUGAUUUCCUGACUUCCUUCUAUCUUCUAUUGAAUGACAACCUAUCAAUUCACAACUUAUUCUGUUCUUAAUGUCAACUUUGGCUUAAUGCUUAAGUAGCAAACUUCCCAUUGUGAACUUUCUUUUCUUUUUCCGUACUAGUUGUAUCUCCUUACAAUUUGAUUUGGAAUAAUAUCCAAUACAACUGAUCUAUCUGUAUGUAAUAUAGAAAUUAUGCUUGCAGUAAAAAAAUGACAUAAUGCGCAGCUUCUUUACUUCUUGUACUUGGUUAGCAUAGUAUUAAGUUUUUCUUUUCCUGUUAUUAUCUUAUGCAGAGAUAAUUUGGCUGUUUAUGCCAGAGAUUACCAAGCCAAAUUUGUAUUAGGAUAUUGUUCAAUCUACAUCUUUAUGCAGACAUUCAUGAUACCUGGUACCAUAUUCUUGUCAUUACUGGCUGGAGCUCUUUUUGGGGUCAUAAAAGGUGUUAUUCUGGUUGUUUUCUCUGCAACUUCUGGUGCUUCAUCCUGCUAUUUCCUUUCCAAGUUAAUUGGCAGGCCUUUGGUCAGCUGGAUGUGGCCUGAAAAGUUGAGAUUUUUCCAAUCAGAGGUACUGACAGAGUUCCUUGUGUGAUAAUUUGCCUUUUAUUUUCUGGGCUGCCUCUGUUUAUAUUUGUUUUCUAGAGACCUUUUCAGGCUUAUGGCUUUCUUCUUUACAUACUCCAAUCAAUUGAUUAACAAUUUGCUCAUCUCAGAAUCUUUUCUUUUCUGGAUGCAGAUAGCAAAACGCAGAGAAAGGCUGCUAAAUUACAUGCUCUUUUUGAGGAUAACCCCAUCUUUACCUAACACAUUCAUAAAUCUGGCAUCUCCAAUUGUUGAUGUUCCUUUUUGCAUUUUCUUUCUUGCAACGUUGGUUGGUCUUGUUCCAGCAUCUUACAUAACUGUCAGAGUAAGUUUCUUUUUUAUCUGCUAGAAUCUACUUAUUUUGAACUGUCAUUUCGUUUUAUCCAUUUUCGAAUAUCCUCUUGAUAUCAUUCAUUUCCACUCUAGUUUGCUUGGCUGUGUAGCCAGCUAAGAUGUUUCUAUAUGUGGCACUAACUUGCUGUUGCAUUUUUGCCCUAUAAUUCACUGGUGAUGGAUGUGUAUUGAGAUUAAAAGUUUUAUUCAAACUUGCUAGUAUGUUACAUUUGAGCAACAAUAGUGAUCUUUUUCACCGUAUUUAAAAGGUUGACCUAUAUGGGGCUAGCUCGUAGGUUUGUUGAUCAUUUCACUCUUGCAAAUUGACAUUUAAGUUAAGCCUUUGCAGGCACUGGCUGAACAGGCUGACCCUGCAACAUGGCCCAGCUGUUCAGCCGGGGCCUAUGAGGCGCCUACCCCUCUAUUGCCUGCAUUAGGUUCAAUUCCAUUUAUAAAAUUUACAGAUUUUGAGGACCAUCAUUUUAGAAAAAGAUCAACCCAGUGCAUGAGGUUUUUGAGGGUCAUCAUUUCUAUGCUUUAUAAUUUGGUGCCAUCUGUUGCUGUGAUUUACCAACAUCUAAAGUGAUUUGGGUUUCUUUUUUUUUUUUUUUACUAUUGUAUCUAUCUCCUCUUUAUGAAUGCUGAGUUUCUUACUCUUGUUAUGAUGGCACUCAUGCCACAUCUGUGUUGUCAUCCAAAAUGCAUUAAGAUGAGAACUUGCAAGAUCCCUAGACCCGUAGAAUGUACAACUUGUGGAAGAUCUACCACCAUCCUUGGUAGUUCGUACUAUUGUUUAGAUUAGCUUCCCUUGAACUUGAACAUUCAGCAUAUAAUUCAUUGACUAGGCUCUGGUGAAUUAUCUGAAAACAUCUUGUUCUCUAUUGGCAUUUCUGGGUUGGUUGGUUGUUUGUUUGUUGAUCUCUUUUAAUCAACUCGCAUUGGCCUUUAGCCAACUUUUAUCAUCAUUGUUCGUAUGUUUUCCUAUAUAAUACUGGGACUAACCAGACUCUACUGCUUUGUACCUGAAGGCUGGUCUGGCUCUCGGGGACUUGAAGUCUGUUAGGGAUCUCUAUGACUUCAAGACAUUGGCGGUCCUGUUCCUUAUUGGAUUCGUCUUCAUAUUUCCAACAAUCCUAAAGAGAAAGAGAACAUAUGAAUGAGGCAGCUUGCUUGGCGUUGACUUUUUUGCUUUCUGUGACGAAUUAUUGUUCUCAGUCACCGGAACAUUAGAAAAAGUAAGGUAUAACCCUCAAUUUUUUUUUGAUGUUUUCUUUUGCCACGAACCAAAGUGUUAACUUUCUAUUGGUGAUACGAAGUUUCUGCUUUCGUUGUCGUAAGAGAUUUGACUUUUCUCUUCUCUUUGUUGCUAUUGGUGAUACAAUGUACGGUUCUCAUCUGUCUCGGUUCCCACAGGAAACAGGACUCCUCACUAGUCUGCUUCCCUAAGUUCCAUGACGUCAGCUUAAGGAUGCGAUCGUCACUUGAGUGCGAGUGGAUUGGAGACGGCGGGGCCAACGGAGUUGCUAGCGUUGUGAGUCCCAAUUGGAUUGGAGACGGUCCUCAAAUAAAAAAUGUAGGGAAAAAACAUGACGUAUAUAAUUGUUUUUUAUGUCAUUCUAUGUUUCGUUAGGUUUUGAUAUGCAAAACAUUAUUUUUGUUUUCAUAAAUAGUCAUGAAGCUUUAAAACAGGCAUUAUGACAAUAGGAAUGAAGCAUCACUGUAUCAUUAUUACUCUUUUAACCUCAUUAUAUCAUCAGGUCCAUAUGGCCGGCCCAUCACAACAAGCUCGGCGGCCCAUAUUCCUCCUCGUAACUCGCAUGUCCUCUCCUAACUCAACUGCGUAUAUUUCUUCUACAUUACAUAUAGAUAUAUAAAGGGGAGAAUAUAGAUAUAGUAUGUUAAUUCUUAGGAUACGAAGACAUGCAAUAAUUAAUUAGUACUGCAAAGCUUAAUUGACGUGCAAUGGCACCUCCAAUGGCAGGCAUAUAGAAAGAAAGGUCAUGGAGACGGACGAAAGAAGAAAAGAAAGCAGGUAGGAUCAGACGGCGGGUGCUGUGCGUCAUUGCCCGGUCGGUAUCAAUCCAUUUCGUAUGUCGUCGGCAAAUCAUUCAACGUACUGAUGGAAUUAUGACUGGGCCGUCUUACUUGACAGCCUAAUGGGCCUCCGUUUAGGCCCAAUAUUACCUUUUCACUAAGCGGCCGAGCCCAUCUCUCUCCUGUCGUCCAUUACAAGUAUUCCCCGUUCCUCUGACGCAACUAUUCGUUCGCUGCUUCUUCGACCCUGCUGCUCUUCACGCCCGUGGAAGAAAUGGCCGAUCCCGAUCCUUCCACCACUUGCCCUCCCCCCUCCUCCGCCUCCAUCUCGUCGCCGCCCACGUUCUGCUGCGCCUGCGGCGCCCCGACCGCCGCCCUGUCGUCCCCUCCGGCGUGGUCCGACUCCUCGCCCCCGCCGGUCUACCGCCCCAUCCGGGCCCCCGCAAUCAACGCCCCCUCCGCCACCGCCUCCAUCGUCCUCUCCCCCGUCCCCCAACCCCUCCCCGUACCCCCUGCCGAGCCCCCCUUCCGCUUCGAGGUCCCGUCCAAGCGCAUCUCCUCCCCCGACGACAUCCGCCGCUUCCACGCCUCCGCGGCUGGCCGCCACUUCCUUGGCUUCAUCGCCGCUCUCUCCCACUCCGUCCGCGGCCGCAAGCUCUCCGAUCCCGUUCCCUCGCCCCUCCCCGGUACCCUCUCAGGCCUCCUCUCCAUCCUCCAAACCCUCGCCCGCUGGAUCGACGAGAUCCCUCCUCUCCCCCACACCGCCCGCUACGGCAACCCCGCCUACCGAUCCUGGCACGCCCGCCUUUCCGACGAGGGCCGCGGCUUAGUCCUGUCCCUCCUCCCCUCCGACGAACUCCACCCCGCUGUCGACGAGCUCCUUCCCUACCUCCUCGACUCCUUCGGCAACGCCUACCGCAUCGACUACGGGACCGGCCACGAGACCAACUUCGCCGCCUUCCUCUACUGCCUCGCUCGCCUUGGGCUCAUCAAAGAAGAGGACUAUCCGGCCCUCGUCCUUCGGGCGUUCGCAGCCUACCUCGACCUUAUGCGGAGGCUGCAGACCGCCUACUGCCUCGAGCCAGCGGGGUCGCACGGGGUGUGGGGACUCGACGAUUACCACUUCCUUCCUUUCAUCUUUGGAUCCGCUCAGCUGAUUGAUCACAAGUACAUGAAGCCGAAGUCGAUCCACAACCAGGACAUCCUCGAUAACUUCUCCAAUGAGUAUAUGUACUUGGCAUGUGUUGCCUUCGUGAAGAAGGUGAAGAAGGGGGUGUUUGCGGAGCACUCGCCCAUGCUUGAUGAUAUCAGUGGUGUGCCGACGUGGAGCAAGGUGAACAGCGGCAUGCUGAAGAUGUACAAGGUUGAGGUGCUCGAGAAGGUGCCCAUCAUGCAGCAUUUCCUCUUCGGGUCGCUCAUCAAAUGGUAUGUUCAUAUAAAUCGCUCUCAUUCGGUUCAUGAACUUUGGUUUGGUUUACUUGGUGUCCGAUCUGCAUUUCUCUAUUAUCAUAUCAACAAUGUGUUGUUUCAUGUUCUACAUUCUGAUUAGUGGUUAGAGUUGCCUUCUCUAAGUAAUAUAACAGAAAAGAAAAUAAUAUGUUGAGUACAGAUGUUUUUAUGAAAGGAAAGGUUAAAAUGAGGAAAAUAUAUCGGAAAGACCGUAAGACAAAAAGCUAAAUGCUCCCUCAUUUGGAGAAAGAAUGGUCCAAAGUGACAUGCUGUGCAAUUAGUUCAGAAUUCCUGAGUAAGCUAUCAUGUAUUACAGAAACAAAAGCAUGAAGAAGGAAAUAUAAUAGAUGUUCAUGGUAAUUUCAUCAAAGAAAUUUAUCAAUAAACUGAUGUAUAACUUUGGUACUUCAUAAUUGGUUUUACAAUGUUUCAUGAUCAUUUUUCUAGCAUGGUUCGGCUGUCAGGAGUUCUAAAUGCAAUUUUUUUUUCAUCCUGAAAUUGUUGUUGCAACGUGCGAGAUAAACACAUGUGUCACCUGUUACAGUUUUCUCCUGCCUAGACUUGUCAAACUUGCAGUGGGGUUAACUGAUGUUUUGAAUAUAAAGUAGUUCUGCUAGAAUUCUGAUAACGAUUCUUUUACUAAUUUCUUCAACAAUAUACUAAAUCUUAACUCAAUUUGCGAUGGUACUUAGUUCUUGCUUCUGCUUCCCUCUAUGCUAUGUAUUGGGAAUCAACAUGGUGCAGCUAUUGCACGAUCGGUAGCCCUAACGUUGCUUUGACAUGCGUUUAAAUAUUAUUUGAAGAUUUCUUGCAGGUAUAUGAGUGUUAGUAAAAAUUUAUUGGAAACUUCACUAGAAAAAAAGGAAGCUGCACAAGAACUAAGAAUAAGAAAUGUUCACAUUCAUAGUUCUGAUUAAGAAAAAAAUACAAGAAAACCAUUAGACGAGCUGAAUCGAUUAUGAUUAUUGAUCAGUGGUGAGAUGAGAAUCAGAGGAAGUCCUGAAAGAACUUCAUUAGGAACCAUAAGAGGUGUUCUUACUGUUUUUAGUUUGAUUAAGUGGCAUUGCCCUAAACAUAGUUAAAUGGAAGGAAAAGAAAUUCCAUGUGAUAAUUGAUACACUAUUUCUCGUUAUUGAAGUAUUAGGUCAAUAAUUAGUAUGUGAACCUUAUUUUUGUACUUGUCCCUAUGUCGAUGUAUUAGCAGCAGUUGAUUACCAGAUCUGCAACUUUGUUGCAUAGGGUUAUGCCGCUGGCUUGUGCUAUCCGUUAUCAUUUACUUCCUAAAUGUAUAUCUGCUGAUAAUUAUUCUCUUAUUGGAAUAGCAUAGAUGGUUUUGUGAUUGGAACCAACAGAACAUCUUCUAGUACCCAAAAAAAAA
RNAcentral lists this long non-coding RNA (74108 nucleotides) under Musa acuminata (dwarf banana). RNAcentral's name for it is "long non-coding RNA (MACU_LNC003029)". Lineage: Eukaryota; Viridiplantae; Streptophyta; Magnoliopsida; Zingiberales; Musaceae. The record is from RNAcentral.